RNAcentral lists this long non-coding RNA (49639 nucleotides) under Theobroma cacao (cacao). Its description in RNAcentral is "long non-coding RNA (TCAC_LNC000646)". Lineage: Eukaryota; Viridiplantae; Streptophyta; Magnoliopsida; Malvales; Malvaceae. The record is from RNAcentral.
UAGAAAUAAACCUGCUUCAAGAUUGUCCAUCUAUGGUUCCAAGAAUUUUUAUAAUGCCACCCUAGUUCCAUACCGAUUUCACCUUAGAGCAAAGUUGAAUGUGCAACUCCCACCGCAGGAUUGUUAAUCAUAUUUGCCAUAGCUACAUUGCUACCCAAUCUAUUGACAAUAAUCCCCUCUUUUACUGGUAAAUCUACGUCUCUACUGAUGUCAACAAGAGGGUUUAAUAAUUUAAUAUAACUACAAAAAUAAGGUCUUUUUGGAUAAUAAUAUUAUUCGAAGGCCAUCAAAUUUCUAAAAUGAAUCUCAAUCUCGUACUCCACAUCAAUAGUUAACAAUUUUAGCACUCCUUUCUUAAAGCGUACCUGAAGCAAGCUGUACAUAGUAAAUUUGAGCAUAUCAUCCAUAAGCAUAUCUAUAAGCUCAACACCUUCAUACUCAAGACCACCAAUCUUAUAACAAUUAUAUGAAACACCAUUAAACGUAACACCAAAAUCAUCAUUAACUACAACACAUUUAAAUUCAACACCAGACUCCUGCAGCCUCGUUGCGUUGUGCAUGAUGUGGCUUCCUAUACGAAAAUGGCUUCCUGCAAGACUUGUGUUCAGUGGACAAGCCCUCAGCACUUAAUAUCUAAUUAAAUCCGUAAAGUGUUUAAUCUUCUUUUUCUCGAAUGAUGGAUCUUUAUUGACACCAAAAUACAAGCAAACAAGAUCGAGAUACUACAAAAAAAAUCAGCCUUUUCCAACGAAAUUUUUCAUUGGAAAAAGGCUAAAUUCCGUUGGAAAUUCCAUCGGUAAAAGUAUCGUAAGUAAUACUUUUCGUUGGAAAUUUUAGUUGGAAAAAUGAGCUUAUUGUAGGGAACUCGACUGGAUUUCCGUUGGAAAUUAAUUUCCAAAGGAAUUCCAUUGAAAAUUUCCUAUAGAAAUUUUCGUUGGAAACAAUUCUGUUGGAAGCAAUUCCGUUGGAAACAAUUCCGUUGGAAAAUCGUUUUCAACAGAAUUAUGUUGGAAAUGCUUUUCCAAAUUCCGUUGGAAAUGCUUUUCCAAUGGAAUUGUUUUAUAUUCAAAAAAGCAUUUGCCAUGAAAUUUUCUGUUGGAAAUGCUUUUCCAACGGAAAUUAUUUUAUUAGAUUAUCAAUUUCUCAAAAAAUUACCAAAAAUUAUUUUACAAAAAAAAAACAAAUUUCUAUUUCGAUAAUAAAAUAUCCAUUCACAUCGACAUUUGAAUUUCAUAUUAUAUAAAAGAAACAAAUAUUAAAAACUGAAAUUCAAUGUGAAACUCAUAUAAUUUAAAAUUACCCUAACACACAAUAUCUAAGAAAAGUUAAACACAUAUGAUUAUAAAACUAAAAUUGUUAUUAAACAGCUAUACUAAAAAGUAUCUCCGUGUAACAGUGAAACAUUGACAUCAUAUCAUGAAAUGUGAUCUUACUUGUGCAGAUGUUAGCUUGAAGGUCCCGCAGUUCCUUGUUUUGAAAGUGCAUUAGUCAUGAUCAUACUUUUCAUACGUGCCAUAAAUUCACUUAUGCUUUCUGCCAUUGCAUUUUUAAUUUCUUCAUGUAUUUCUCCAUGUAAUUCAUCACGUAUCUUACCCAAGUUUUUUAAAAGAUUUUCUACUUUCUCUUCCAAUGCAAUUGCGGGACUGGUAGCGUUUGAGGGCAUAGGGUCACAUGCAGACUCAGAUGUUGCUACAUUGAUGUGUGUUCCAGUAAGUAAAGCUGUAGCAGGGACCCGAGUACCAAACCCAUGCACGUGAAUGCGUGUAGUCUCAAUCCCUCCUAUUGCUUUAGUCCAAGCAUUCGGAUCGAAUUCUGGCUGAGAAGAUGAAUACUCACCAUAUUUCUGUGAUAUUACAGAAUUAUACAUUUCCUACAAAAAAAAAAUUAAACUAGAUUAGUAUUCAACUACAGUUGUCAACUUUAAUUUUAAAAUUAAUCAAUUUGGUACGUACACUCAUAGACUUGGACUUGUUAUCUAUAAAAUCACCAUGACCCCCUAAACGCUUAUGAGUAUGGUUGAACACUUCCAAAAAACUAAAAUCUCCUUUCAUCUCAAUUGCCUGCAUUUAUUUACAACUACAUAUACUCAAUCAUAAUUGAUAUAUAUAAAUUACAUAAAAGGAAAAAUCAAAGUCAAACUACUAAACAGACAAUUUAAAUUUAGUUUGAAAGAAAACCAAACAUAUAAAUGAGAAGUAAAAGUAAUUCAUACCAUCCUUUUUGCAUGAACCACAAAUGAAACUGAACCGCCAGUGUGCUUUGGGAUGCUUCAUUCUUUUGCCGUCAAACCAUUUUGCCUUGCUUUUCUCGAUUUGUCUUGCCAUUCUUCUGUACCUCAUACCGUAUCGAUAAGGAGAUCCCAGAUUUUAUUCGUGAUCUAUUCCCUUGACAUGCCUUUGUAGUCCCUAAUGUUGUUUGUUUUGGCUUCUGUCAUUGCUUUAUUCCUUUCUUCUGACAGCAUGUCUCUUAACUGAUCAGAACAAAUUUUUUCCCAUAUUCGUCGAACCAAAACAUUGUGAUUUGCAGACCAAACACAUUUUUCCUAGUUCAAAAUUUUUUCAUUAUUAAAAAAAUUGAUAGAAAUUAAUUGAAAACUUAAAGUUAUAAUAAAUCAAUAAAUAACAAACUACAUACCUGAAAUUUUUGAAACAUUAACUCCUUUACAUCAUUAGGGACUUUCCUCCAUAUCGACCAUGGACCAUUAAAGUGAUUUUUGAUGAUCCUUGUGAUUGUAGCGGUGACCUCUCGCUCGAAAAAAGUGCUUAUAGAAUAUAAAAGAAAAUUUUAAUAUAUUAAUGUUUUUAAUAAAUAUGACAAUUUCAUUAACAACUAUUAGAAAUAUCUUAAGACAACACACCUCUCCCCAAUUGGAGUUAUACACAAUCUGUUCGCUGGAUCAACAUGAGUCUGUAAUCCUACACUAGGUCCUCUACCCCUUGACCUUGAGGAUAUGUCAUCUACACUUGCAUCUAAAUCAAUAGAUGGGGAUCUACGAGAAUCGUGAGUAGAUGUCUCAUUUUCUACUUGCUUUGCAAAUGCACCCAACAAAGAAGGUGUCUCAAAUGGCACAUCAUGAAACUCCAGCUGCAUCUGUUGUUGAAUGGAUAGAUCAACAAAUUCUCUAGCAUUUGUAGACAAAGACAUACUUUCAGAGGCAUUUUUUGAUCUAGGUCACGAUUUUGAAUGCUUCCUUUUAACCAUCAUUCUUGCAACAUUUAUAAUGUUAAAAGUCAGACACAAAUCCAUUAGAUAUAAAAUUGAAACAAAGUAUAGAAACCAUCAAUUACAACAAUGAAAAGUAUGAUUAUUCAUUGGUACAAUAAAAUUGACAUUAUAUAGUAUUAAUCUCAACAUUUAUAAAUAUAAACUUAGAUUAAAUUUCACACACAGUCAAGAUCUUUUAAUAUUAUAAAAUUAACAAAUAUACAACAUGUAACAAAAAAUAUCAAACCAAUAUCAUAUAUGCCAACCAUCAUCAUUCACUUUCAGAAUAAUCAAAUUCAUGUUCUUCAUUAUUAUCACUAUCAUCACUCAAAGUUUCAGAAGCGUUGUCUUCAAGUUCAUCUUCUUUUUCAUCGUCAUCUUCAUUUUCAUCUCUUUCCAUGUCAUCUUCUUCAUCUUCAUCUCUUUGCAUGUCAUCGUCUUCAUCCUCAAUCAAGAGAUUAACCUCAUCAUAAUCACCAUUUGCUAAGACUGUCAAGUUAUCAAGUUCUUCCGAUGGAGUAGCAUUCAUUGAAAUAGACACGUCUUCUUGGUAUACUUCUUCAUUCAAAUCAAUUUCAUUUUCUCUAUCUCCACUACUAAGAAUGUUAUAUCUACUCCUAGCUUUUGUUUUAAAUAUUGUCCACCAAUCACAUCGAUCUCUUUUCCGUGAUGGAUAACUACUAUAAUAAACUUGGUGAGCUUGUGCUGCUAAAACAAAUGGUUCAUUAUUGGCAAGUAUUGAGUUGCAUUUAAUUUCAACAAGACCAUGCAAAGGAUCUACCUUAUUACCUUUUUUAGUGUCAAACCAAUGACACUUAAAUAGCACAACUCUGUUUUCGAUUUUAAAAUACUUCAACUCAAUUAUAUCCACUAAAAUACCAUAAAAGUCACGCUCAUAAUCAUUGUAAAAACUCCCUUUUAUGCAAACCCCACUAUUCAUUGUCUUACGAUUUUGCCCGUAAUCUAGGGUGUGAAAUUUGAAACCAUUUACAAAGUAUCCUUUGUAACACCUUAUCAUACGUCCUGGACCAUGAGCAAUUUCAAGUAUACGUGGGUUAAUUUCAUUUGUAUGUGUUGCAACCUACAAACAUGACAUACAAGAUCAAAAUUAAUAAUUACAUAAUUAAUGCGUCAAUAUUAUUAAAAAUUCACUUAUAAUUUACAUAAACUUACAUAAUUUUUAAACCAUUUAACGAAUCUUGCAUCACACACUUUCUCCAAUUCAUCUUCCGAUAUAUGCACAACAUCUCCCUUGAUAAUAUCAUCAAACAUUCUAUCAUCAUAUCCACAAUUUAGUGAUUAAAUUCAUUCUUAUAAUUCAAGUUUGGAUUAGUAUUUUAUGAUUAAAAAAUUAAAUAAUUAUGUAGGAAAGGAAUUACUAUUUUUUUAAAGUAAGGACUUUUGAUAUGUUUUUUUACUUAAUCUGAAAAAAAUAUUAUAUAAAAAGGAAAAUAGUAAAUUUUAUAGAACACAAAAAUUGUAAAUUUUUUAAAAUUUUUAUAUUUAAUUGUCAAUAUUUUAUUAUUUUAUUUGAUUUAUAUCUUCUUCAAUUUAAAACAGCUCUCUAUUAUAAGUGACCAAUUAAUGUCAUUACUUGACCAAUGUUUUGUUAUUGUAUUUGCUUUUAUUUUAUUUGAUUAAUUUGAUAAUUAGUUUAUGGUUUCUAUUCCUUCUUUAUUUUUAAUUAUUAUUUUGUAAAAAAAAUGUUAAUUAUAAACGUAACUUAUUUCUUGUUAACCAAGAUAUAUUAUCAGACUUAACAUAUGAUAGUUGCCCCUAUCAUCCAUUAACUUACCUAGUUAUGCUCAAUCCCUUAGCAAAAUGUAAAAUAGAAUUAUUUUUUAAUUUUGAUUUAUGAUUAUGGUUUGUAAAUAUAUCCAAAUUACUCAUUUGUAUUUUUUUUUCUUUUGAGUUGGAACUAUAAAUUAAGGAAAAAUACAAAUUAUAUAAGCUUAGGAUUAUGGUCUAUAAAUAUAUUCAAGUUAUUUAUUUGUAAAUUUUCCUUUUGUCUUUUUUUUUUUUGAGUUGAGGAGCAUAGUUACCACAUUAAAUAUUAUAUCAGCUGAAUAAAGAUAAUUUAAUUAAAUAGAGAAAAUUUUAUGUAAAACGGUUCUAGCACCAAUAAAAAUCUUUCAAUAUAAACCCUAAAUAUUUUUACAUGGUAGUCAACUUCUUCUAAGAGAUUAAGAUAUGUGAUUUCUUUUGUUUUUUAUCUUUAGAGCUUAUUUUGUAUGAGCACAUACCAAGACAAAUAUUAUAUCAAUUUAUUUGUAUAGAAGGUCUGUACAACUAUCUUCAAAUCCAAUGAUGGGUUAUAGGAAAUACUCAAAUUCAUUCCAGGUUGAUCAUAUGAAAGUUUGUCGUUUUUUUUUUUGUAAAUUUUUUUAAAAUUAGAUUUUGCUUAUAGUUAUCCAGCUAAAAAUUCAUUAAGUAAAUAGUUAAGAUAAUAAUGUAACAAAGAUAAAUAGCGUCACAUGCUAUUAGUUUAGAAUCUUUAAGAGGAAUUAUAGUCAUCAACAGUUUUGAAAUUCAUUCAUCAUCAAACUUCAAUUACAUAGCAUGUAUAUAGACUCAGCAACAAGAUUUACAGUCAAUUUACUUUUCAUUAUAAAUCUAAAUUGAUUUUUAAUUUUUUCAACUUAAUGACUAAAAUUAAAAUUACAAUGAACAAACAAUUUUAAAUCAAAUAAACCAUUUUCUACGUGAUUUAAUGAAAAAUUCAUUCUUAUCAUUAAUUUUAUUUUUAUAAAUAACAAUUUUCAUCAAUAAAAAUUAUUCAAAAAAAUGACAAUUUAAAAAUAUAAUGAAUAAAGAUUUCUACUUUCGAGAAUAAAAAAAUUUGCACCCAUAUUUACUAAGCUUAUUAAGAUGUUAAAGAUUAUUAAAAAGUAAUAUCUUUAUUUAAUCUAUAAUAAAUCAUAAAAUUAUGUAUCAACAACUGCAUUUUUUUAUAAUAAAAAAAUACUAACAAAUUGCCAGUAGAGGGAAGAGAUAUUUAGGGUUUUUGGUGAUCGAGCUUCAAGCCACCGGUGGAGGAGAAGGUGAGAGAGGAGUAGAAAGCGGCCAACGGAGGGAAGAGUUUAGAGAGAAGUCAGACGGUGGUUUUCAAUUAGUCAAGCACCUUCUUGAUCGGUGUUCGCCAUAUAAGCAACUUCCUUCUCAUGGAAACAAACGACAAUAUUUCUCACUAGUUAGCAAUAUCAACAGAAUUAAUCAACCCUCAACUUUAGAUUUAAGCCUUGAUAAGUCCAACAUGGUGUUUAAACUUUCGUUUUGAGGUACCUAUGACGCCCAACUUUAAAUUUAUCCCAAAAGAAUUUGAAGUCAAAUCCGAAUGAUAAAAUUUAAUUACAUAAAAAAUGAAGCAAUUAGCUACAGAUAAGAAGUAAAUAAAAUCAAUGCCUUCGUCAGAAUAGAAUUAGUACGUACCACUGAAGAGAAAGAGGUCAAACCAGGAGAAACAGCUCAAGGUUCAAAGUGCAAAAUGGGGUAAUCCUUGUACAAAAUCAGUUCUUAACAUUGGAAAGAGCCCACUUGUUUCGUCCAAUUAAGAGCCAACCGUCGUACAAAGUCAUUGUUUUUGCUUUUUCUUAUUGUUUGAAGUGACAAAAAAUCAUUGUUUUUUUAAAGAGGUUGUUAUAAAGCGACAAAGUAUCCUUGUCUAAAUAUGAUGUGCAUGUUCUAUAAGUAAGAUGCUAUUUGUAGAAAAUCACUUUAACCAACCACUCAUAUCUCACCCACAAAUUUAAUAUAUAUUAAUUUAUAGUUUCGCAAGGGAACAUUUUGUGUGUGUGUGUGUGUGGGAAAUCCAUGGACCACAUUGCAUUGUCAGGAAAAGGCAUCAUCUCAACACCCCUAGUUUCAGGACGGUAAAAGUUUCGAAAAAUGGCACAUGGAAUCCAAAUUUCAGAACUUGUGCAGGAUUCACCACCUACCAGGAAUACAAUGAAAUAUGUUAAAACCAUUCGUAACAUGUCAGGCAGAAAACUACGUUUGUAUUCUGCAGAUGCUAAAUGGAGGGUGCUGGGCGCAAUUUCCAUCUGGUUCUUAACUGCAGCCAUUCGGUAAUGGGCAGUAUAGCGACCAUCUACCAGAAUUCCCCCUGCAAUCAUGGGUUGUCUGCCGAAAAACUUCCCCACAAAAAAAAAAAUGAUAAGUGUUGGAAAAUUGAAUACUAUAUUUUUUUCAGCUUCAAGUGUUUGUUGUCAACUUACAACUCCUUCACAACAUCCUAACUGACAUUUUGUUGAACCGUGGCACAAACACCACCUGCCAUAGAUAAACCCUUUGCGUAAUGCAAAUGCUAAUUGUUUGAUAAUUAUGCAGAGAAAGAUGCAGAGCUGAACCACAAAACUCAUUGCAUUAAGGUAACACAAGGCACUGAAAAGGAAAGAAAAAUGAAAACCCAGAAAGAAAAAAUGGCCUUAAACCAAGGCUAAAGCACUCAUUCAUCCCCUGCCCUGGGACGAAUUCCAAGUCCAGUUCUUUUACUUGCACCCACUUCCAUCAAAUCUUCCACCUGUUCAAAUGAAAUUAUAAAAACAAAAUUAUAAAUGUUGAAGGUGAAAAUUUGAAAACACGGGAACCAAUAGUUCUACCUGUGGCAACGCUUGCUGUGGCCCAAUACCAGUGGCUAUUGACGCGGGUCCUAUCUCCAUCACCACCGCUCUCCUCCACCUCCAUGACUUGUCUCUUCCUUCUUCAGACUUUCACUGACUUUGCAGUUUGAUCCUUUUCCAAGCUGCUGCUCUUCGUACCGCUUCCUUGAUUGGAUUGGCCCGACUUGGGCCAGACUUGGUCAUGAUUUUUUAGACCCAGGCUCGACCAGCACAAUCCAAAAAUGUUUUUGUAAUAAUAAAUAUUAUAUUUUUAUUUAAUUAUAAAUUUAAAAUAGUAAUAAAAAUUUUUAUAUUUAAAAAUAAAUAUAACUUAAAUGGGUGAGUUCGGAUUUAAGUUUUUAAGAUGUCAAUCUCAUACGAUCAACUAUUUAUUUGUUAUUCUUUAUUUUAAUCAUGAGAAAUUUUCUUUUUCCUUAAAAGAUAGAAGUUUGAAAAAUCAUUUGAGAUCUUAGUUUUUUUUUUUAAUUUAACAUUUCAUGAAAAACUUUUUUAGUUGUCACAAGUUACACAUUUAAUGAAUUCACGAAUUAUUUUAAUACUUUAGUUUGAACAAAGGAAAGAAAGAAUAAUUAGUAAAAAAGGUUGUGGCCUUUGAAUAUAAAAAGAAAAAAGAAAGAGAAUGAGUCAUAGUCUUACUACCAGUUAGUUAUAUACAAGGAACAAGUCAAUCCCAUAAAAAUAUGACAAAAUCUAAUAGGCACACAAUUCUUCAUUAAUAGUAACAGUACAUUUUAUGAUAAGUGCAACAAAGCUUGAAAACAAAUUCUCUUUCCACUCAAAGUGGAAAGGCAAAUAAAUUUAAAAAAGUGCAAAAGAAACGCAAACUAACACAAAUAGAAAGAUUGAUUUCAUUUUUCUUUGAAUCGAAUACUACCAAUCAAGUAAGAGUAUUUAUUUUGUAGGCAUUGCUCGAUCCAAGAUUGCCAAUACGGUUUGAGUGAGAGUUAUUACCACUACGAUGAAAGCAGCAAAAGUAGCAGUUCCUCUCCAAAGAUUGUUGAAAUAGACAUGUUUCAAGGUUGUCCUUGUACGGUUCCAAGGAUUAUCAUAAUACUCGUUCAAAUCCUUUCCUAUUUUGUCAUAACACACACUAAGGUUUACAACACCCGUCAUGAGAUUGUUGAUCAUAUUUGCCACAGCUGCAUUGCUUCCCAUAUCAUUAACAAAAAUCCCCUCCUUUUCCAACAAAUCCACAUCUUUAUCUGUGUCAACAAGAUAGUCUAACAGUUGCAUAUAACUACAAAAAUAAGCCUCCCCGGAAUAGUGACAUUGUUCGAAGGCAAUCAGGUUUCUAAUCCAAAUUUCACUGUGGUCGUUCCAAUAAAAAUAUGGGAUUUUUAGCACUCCUUUUGCAAAUUUUACGUACAAGUCACUCACAUCAACGUUAUCUUUAAUAGCUUCAAACUUAACACCAGCCUCAUGCAACAUCGUUGCGCUGUAUAUGUUGUCGAUACACUCAAUUGAGUUUGAAGGACAAGUUCUCACUAGAACGCUUCUAGUUAAAUCUAUAAAGUGUUUAAUCCCCUUUUUGUUGAUUAAAUGAUCUUCGUUUUCGUUGAGGAACAAGCAAGCAAGGUGGGGAAAAGAGGGUUUACCAGAGGUAGCAAAAGCUAGGUUAUAUAGAGCUUCAAGGAUAAAGAACGGGAGUUGAUUUUCAAGUAAUAACAAAUCCAAUUCUAGUUCAACUCUUAACCAUACCUUAUUGACUAAGAAGUCGAUGACUUCUUUUUCAGAGUUCCUCAAGAACAACUCAAUGAGAAAAACUGCGUCAAAUAAUAUUAUCUUCACAAACUUGGAAACCGCCAACUCAGUGUCCAAGACAAAUUCGACAUCAUAACACCUGCAUAUAUCUCUUACUCGCGCUUUGAUGAAACUGGCAAAUUGUUCCAAUGUGUUUUCGGAAGUCCUUUGACAAAAUUUGUCGUAAUAUCUCUCCUUUUGCCUCUCCAUUCGAGCCAAAUUUUUGUUACCAUGAUGAAUAGGCCCUAUUGAAAUCAACCGCGGAGUGAAGGCUUUUUGGUUUGCUUCACGAAAACGACUAGGGACCUUGUAAAUACAACAAUCAGGCGCAAGCUCAAAGUCUUCUUCAGGGAUACCAAUUUCCAAAUAUUGGGGUUGGUGGUUGUUCUCAAUAAGUGCAGCAACUUCUUGUUCGGUGUUUGCUGCCAUAUAUGCAACUUCCUUCUCAUGUAAACAAACGACAAUUAAACCAGUGAGCAAUAGCAAUAAAAUUAAUCAAGCCACACGUUUAGAUUAAAGCCUUAUCAAGCCACAACUUUAGAUUUACCCCGAAAAAUCAUAGGGUUAGAUUCAGAUAAAGGAACUUAAUUUCAUCAAAAGUGAAACUAUUAACUAAAAAUAAAAAGUAAAUAAAUUCAAAACCCUCAUAAGAAUAGAAAUACAUACCUCUGAUGCUGAAGAAAAGGAUCAAACCAGCAGAAACAGCUCAAGGUUCAAAGUGCGAGAUGAACCAACUUGGUUUCGUUAUUGAAUACAACUGGUUCCGGUAAGUCUUGGCGAGAGUAAUGAGCAAAGUUCUCUCACAUUUAUAGAGGAAAAUGCCCACCUUGUUUCUUAAGUCCUAUCCUUGGAUUGCACAAGUCGUCUACGAGUCAAUUUUUCGUACAAAAACUUAUUGCUCGCUAGUUGUUAGUUGUCAAGUCUGUGGCUUUGGAUGCGGGUCCAAUCUUCAUUUUGGCUGGAGAUUGGUAAAGAGGCAAUCACAAAUCAAAGUUUCAACAUGAGAGAUCUAGGACUCAACAAUCUUUUCUUUUGUUGAAGGGAAGCCUGCUCUGUGGAGUGGUUAUCUCAGAAAAACACACAAAAUUUCGAUAUGACAAAUGUGGGGCUGCGUAUGCUUUUACCCUUGGUCUUUGUGGCCAGGUACAUUGAAUUUAAGGCAUGUAGUUCCUGGAAUAAUUCAAUUAUGAAAUGAUCAACCAGCUGGUCCCCUGGUCAACAAAAAUGGGUUGGGAUUGAAUGAAAGAAAUUGUUUUUCCACAUGUUUUGAUGAUGCGAGGGUGGAAGAACCCCUCCUGUUAGGCUAGUAUUAAUUCGCAUGGAGAGACAAGUGUAGAUAGAAUUUGGGUAGGACCCAUGCUUUCACUCAGCCAGGUCUAGCGAGUCCCACAGACGAUUGUGAUUCACGGGUGCAUGGGACUGAUCCAGGAUGGAGAUAGGACGCGCAUCCAAAGCCACGGACCUGACAACUAACAACUAGCAAGCAAUAAUUUUUUGUACGAAAGAUGGACUCGUGACAACUCGUUCGAUCCAAGGAUGGUACUUAAGAUAAAAGGAGGGCAUAAUCCUGUAUUACAUUUGAGAGAACUUUGCUCACUACUCUCGUCAAGACUUAAAGCAUGUCUAUUUCAGCAAUUUUGGAAAAGGAACUACAACUGUUGCUGCUUUCAUCGUGGUGGUACUGACUCUCAAACCAUACAGACAAUCUUAGCUCAAGCAAAGCCCAUAAAAUAAAAUACUCUUACUUGUUUUUAGUUUUCUAUUCAAUUAAAGUGAAAAUUGUUGAAAGGUAAUUCAUUGUAACACCCCGUAUGAAGGAAGGAAAGGUAGGAGCCGGCUGAAGGCAAAAAUAAAAGAAGGGGAAGAAUGAAAUGGGGGCUGGCCACGUGGAACAAAGGGAAGAAGGAAAAGAAAAAAAACGGUAGGGGGCCGGUCAAAGAAGAAAAUAAAGAAGAAGGAAAGAAUAAAAAAAAAAAAAGAGAAGAGCUGCAAAAGAGAAAGAGUCGGCUAUGAGGGAGUGAAAAAAAAAACAUUCAACCAAAAAUCGAGAAGAGAAAGAAAGAAGAAAGGAGAAAGGAAAGAAAGGAGAAGGAGGGAAAGAGAAAGAAGAAAGGAAAGAAAAAGAGAGAAUGAAGAUCGGCUGGAGGAGAAGGAAAAGAGAGGGAGAAGGCUGGCCGGAGGAGAAGAGAGAGAAGGAAGGUCCAUCGGCUGGAAAAGGAGAGAGAAGGAAGGAAAAGAAAGGAAAAAGGGAGAGAAGAAAGGUACGAUGUCGGUAGGGAAGAGGAAGAAGAAAGAAAAAACAAAAGAAAAAAGGUGCAGCCGACCAAGAAAGAGAGAGGAAAAAAAAGAAUAGAGAAAAGAAAAAAAAAAUAGUGGGCAUAACCCAAUAAGGAGAAGUGGAAAGAGCCCAUGAGAAAGGCCCAAUAGUAACAAGAAAGGAGGCCCAAUGGCAACAAGAAAGGGUAAGCCCAAAAGAGAAGAAAGGUGGAGACUUGGGCUUAGGCCAAUUUAACCCUAAUAGGAAGCACUAAAGUAAAGAUAGUGCACUAUAGUGGCGUGUCGGAGGAAGUGAUGAGCGAUCGGUAAAUAGAAAUAGCGAUGUAGUGUCUUGUUAUUGUGAGGUGAGUAGGUGCUAAAUUUCAAAAAUUAUAUCCUGAUAAAUAUGUUAUAUAUGUUAUAUUUGAUGGUUGACGAAAUUAUGGAAAGCAUGAGUUGGUAGAAAGUCUUAGGUUGUUUGUGAUUGCAAUCAAGGAUUUUAAAUUCAUUUUUUUUAUACUAUACAUAAGUAAAUAUCUACAAGGUUUUAAUUACGAGAAAACAAACCUUUCAAUGGCUUUCGCUUCAAAAUUAUAUCUUGCAAGCUUGUGUAAUGUUUGGACCAAUGAUCAUUAUUUGAUUCAUGGGAUUUGAUAAAAAAAAAUUAUUAUUGAUUUCACUUAACAUGCUGAUUUGAUGGGUAUACCAUGCUUUGAAAUAAAUUAUGCAUUAAAUUGCAAUGAUUUCCAUUUUAACGUGAUUGAGAUAUUCUGAGUAGGUAAAGGGGGACCUGAAGCCUCGAUUUAUAUAUGGUGGCGUGGGCAGUUCUCACGAGUAGGUAAAUGGAGACUUGAAGUCCUGAUUAUAUAUGGUGGCGUGGGUAAUUCUCACGAGUAGGUAAAGGGGAACUUGAAGCCCCGAUUUAUAUGGUGACGUGGGCAAUUCCCACGAGUAGGUAAAGGGGGACCUGAAGCCCCAAUUCAUAUGGUGACGUAGGCAGUUCCCAUGAGUAGGUGAUGAUAUCUGAGAGAGUAAGCCUAAGGAUGAUGCUCACUUGUGAAUUUUUAUUAUACAAUGCAUGGCAUUAACACUUGAAAAAUUUUAUUAAAUGGCAAGUGAAAUUUACAUAUUCAUCGGUGAUCGGUUAUUUCUCAUUUUUAUAUUUGAGACAUUUCAUUUACACUUGCCAUUGAAUUUAUUAUUGAUUGGUUAUUGAAGUUGAAAGAUUUUUUAAUACUUUAGAUACAACCGUUUUAAUAUUUGUUUAUUGGUGAUUUAUUACUUUUAAGACUUGUAAGGUAUAAAAACAAAAUCUCACAGUUUAAUGGAAUGUGUUUCUUACACUUACUCUUGGAUUUAUAAACAUUCAACCUUUCUGUUUGUUUCCCCUUCUCACUUGCUCACGAGGUCGAUGAUGAUCACUGAGUCUAUGAGACUCACACCCCUUUUAUUUCUCCUUUUUCAGGCAAGGAUCAGCCUAGUGUGUAUUCAUCAGCGUAUUCAGUCUAUUGAGAAUAGAUAAAGGCAUCUCUUAGCUCGCUCCACUGUCUAGGGUUAAGUUACAUAAGAUUUUUAGAUGUUGUGAAUUAUUGUAAUUCAUGGAUAUGUAUUGUUAAAAACUUAGUGGUUGACAUUUAAUUGUUAUAAUUUAAAAAGAAAUAUCAGUAGUACGACUAUUAUUAUUAAUCGCUUAUGCACAUGAGAGCAUUUUUAAUAAAUGUCUUUGAGAAUUUCAUAGAGAUUUGUUCGGGACUUGGCAGGGUCUCCCGUAGGUCUCGGACGUCAGUAGCGACCGAAGUUUGGUCGUUACAUUCAUAUUCUGACAGUGAUAGCAUGUGAAGAACAAGAGAAGAGCUUCAACUUUUUAGUGCAAAACAAUGACGUUUAUUCAUCAGCAAUUAUAAGUUUUCAAAGUGUGUCAUUUUACUCUUUAUGUUUUAAGUUGGUUGUACUCAAAACGAUGUUGCUCAUAUCGUUUUUUAGCUAAGUUUAGUUAAGUCCUAUACGCUUCAUUUUAGUGUCAUUUUUUAGUCUGUUUUAAGGCUUAACAGCCAUGGUUUUCUAUUUCAAUUUUUUACCGUUGAGGGAUCAUUGAUUUGUGUGUAGUUUGUUGUUGUGAUCCGAUUUAUCAAGAAAUGUUUUUGAAUUGUUUGAAUAUAUAUACUUGAAAUAAAAUGAAAUUUACACUUCUUCCCAGUAAGAAAUUUUCAGUUCACAUUCUCUGGAAUUCUUAGUUCUUUAGACUUCUCAGACUUCUCUAUUUUUUAAGCUUUGUUUUUCAUUGCUUAGCUUUGCAGCUUAGCUUUUAAUUUUCUUCAAUUGGUAUCAGAGCUCUCAGUGAUCUUAAGGGCUUAGGAUUUGAUCAGUUUUUGUAAAUAUGAGCUAUGGAUUCAAUGCAUCAGCUCCAUCAAAGUUCACCGGAGAGAACUAUUCAUUCUGGAGUGUGAAAAUGGAGGCUUAUCUCAGAGCCUUCAUGUUGUGGGAAGCAGUGGAGACUGAUGAGGAACCAGUGCAAAGGAGAGCUAAUCCGAUGAUAGCUCAGAUCAAGCAAUUUGAGGAAGACAAAGCCAAAAGGUACAAAGCUCUGUCUUGCCUUCACUCAGCUUUAUUUGAUGAAAGUUUUGCUCAGGUUAUGCAUUUGAAAUCUCUUAAGCAAGUUUGGGAUUAUUUGAGAGGAGUUUUUUGGGAGUGAAAGAACUAGGCAGAUUCAAGCAUUUAAUCUUACUCAGAAAUUUGAAAUGUUAAGAAUAGAGGACAGUGAAAACAUAAGAGAAUUUUCUAGAAAGAUGAUGGGAUUAGUGAACCAAUUGAGGCUACUAGGGAAGGAGGUUACAGAAGAGAGACUGGUAAGCAAAAUGUUAAUGAGUUUACUUGAGAAAUAUGAGACUAAGGUGUCCUCAUUAGAAGAUUCCAAGGAUCUAGCUCAGAUUACUUUUAAGGAGUUAGUUCAUGCUUUGGAAGGUCUGGAACAAAAAAGGGCUUUCAAACAAAAGAGUGCAUCAAAUUUUGCCUUAGUAGCUAAAGCUAAAAAUGUGAAAAUGAGAGGUAAUGGCUUGAAGGACAGUUCAAUUGAUAAGAAAAACAAAGGAAGGAAGAGUGGAGAUACUCAACAGGGGGAUCAGAAGAGGGAAUUUCCACCAUGCAAGCAUUGUAAGAAGACUAGUCAUACUGAAAAAUAUUACUGGUUCAGGCCCAAUGUUAAAUGCAGGGCUUGCAAUCAACAGGGUCAUGUGGAAAAGAUAUGUAAAAAUUGGGCUGAAGCACCUGAGAAAGCUGCUGUUGUAGAGCAUACAGAUGGAGAUGCUGAUAAAGUUCUCUUUAUGGCUACAAUUGAUGAAAAUUCAAGCAAUGUAACAGCUGGUGAGAAUUCAAGAAGAUCUAAUGUUUGGCUUUUGGACAGUGCUUGCUCCCAUCACUUGACAAGUAAUAAAUCUCUUUUCUCUACCCUUGACAAAAGCUUUAAGUCAAAGGUUAAGAUAGGAGAUGGAAAUUAUCUGGAUAUUUUAGGAGUAGGAACUGUUGACAUUGAAACUACUUCAGGCAGAACAAGUAUAUCUACUGUGCACUAUGUUCAUACUGCUGAUCAUAAUCUGUUGAGUGUGGGACAAUUAGCUAAUGAGCAUUACCGUAUUUUGUUUAAGGGUGAUAGUUGUAUAGUUUUUGAUUCUCAGGGUAAAGAAUUGAUUAUAGUGUCUAUGAAAAACAAUUGCUAUCCUCUGAAUUUGGCUAAUGCUGCUCACUUAGCUUUAUAUAAUGAACUUGAUGUGUCUGAAGUAUGGCAUCAAAGGAUUGGCCAUGUUAAUUACAAUACUUUGACUCUGAUGUCUUUCAGAAACUUGGUGAAAAGAUUGCCUGUUAUUUUAAAACCGAAUAAGAUAUGUCAGACUUGUCAGUUUGGUAAACAAACAAGAAAAUCAUUUCCUAUAGAAAGUAGAUGGAAGGCUACCAAGAAGUUGGAAUUGGUACAUACUGAUUUGCGUGGUCCCAUGAAGACUGCUUCACUUAAUGGAAGCAGAUACUACAUCAUCUUUAUUGAUGAUUAUUCAAAGUUUUGCUGGAUAUUCUUCUUGAAGCAGAAGUCUGAAGCUUUGAGUUAUUUCAAGAAAUUCAAAGUUGUUGCUGAAAAUUUUUCAAGACAAAGUGUAAGAACCUUGAGGACUGAUAAUGGUAAGGAGUAUACAUCUACUGAAUUUGAGCAAUAUCUGGAGUCCUGUGGAAUACAACAUCAGUUAACUAUUCCAUAUAGUCCUCAGCAGAAUGGGAAAGCUGAAAAAAUGAAUAAAACCUUGGCAGAGAUGGGGAGGUGCUUGUUGUACCAGAUAAAGUUGCUAGGGGUAGUUUGGGUAGAAGCUGUGAAUACAGCUAACUAUCUUUUAAACGGAGUUUAUAUAAGAGCUCUGGAUAGCAAAACACCUUAUGAAAUGUGGUUUGAUCAUAAACUAGAUGUUUCCCAUUUAAAAAUAUUUGGCUGCAUUUGCUAUGCUACGAUAUCAGAUGUUAAGAGGACUAAGUUUGAUCCAAAAUCUGUGGCAGCAGUUCUGGUUGGCUACAGUGAAGUCUCCACAGGCUAUCGAUUGUUUGAUCCUGAAUUAAAAAAUAUUUUUGUAAGUAGGGAUGUGAUAUUUGAUGAAGGGCAAAGUUGGAAUUGGCCUAAUAGUGGUGCUGGACAGGUUGAUUUCACCAAAACAGCUAAUGUAGAUGCUCAACGGACUGUAGUUGAUGAUGAUUCUGAUCUGGAGGAUGAAAGUAAAGCAAUUAGAUGUACAAGAAGCUUAGCUGACAUUUAUAGCAUAUGCAAUAUUACAGUAACUGAACCAGCAACUUUCAAGUAAGCUUAGCUUGAUAACAAUUGGAAGUCAGCUAUGGAUGCUGAAAAUGGAAAUGAUAUCCAAGAAUAGGACAUGGACUCUUGUUGACAGACCAGUUGACAAAAACAUCAUAGAAGUGAAGUGGAUUUACAGAACCAAAUUUAAUCCAGAUGGUUUUAUAAAUAAGUAUAAGGCUCGGUUGGUGGUCAAAGGGUAUGCUCAAGUUUAUGGGGUUGACUACAUGGAAACAUAUGCUCCAGUAGCCAGACAUGACACUAUAAGGAUGUUUGCUGCCUUGUCAUCCAGGGAAGGAUGGACAAUUUAUCAUCUGGAUGUCAAAUCGGCCUUCCUUAAUGGCAUUCUUACUGAAGACAUUUAUAUUGAGCAGCUUGAAGGUUAUGUGCAGCAGGGGUCUGAGAUGAAGGUAUGCAAGCUUAUUAAGGCACUGUAUGGCUUGAAACAGGCUCCAAGAGCCUGGUACACCAGAAUUGAUGAAUACUUCAAGAAUUAGGGGUUUAUGAGGAGCAUCAAUGAAUCCACUUUGUAUGCGAAGCAUGAGCAUAAUACUGUGGAACUUAUAGUAGCAUUAUAUGUGGAUGAUCUUUUGGUUACUAGACCAGAAAACAAGUAUGUGUCUGAAUUAAAAUCUUGAAUGAAGGAAGAAUUUGAUAUGACUGACUUGGGAGUUAUGACUUAUUUUCUUGGCAUGGAAGUGAGGCAAACUACUGGUAAAGUCAUACUUGAUCAAGGUAAAUAUGCUCAGGAUUUAUUAAAGAAGUUUAAUAUGAGCAUGUGCAAGGCAGUAAAUACUCCAUUGUGCAUUGGUGCUAAAUUUAGUGUAGCAGAUGGUGCUGAGAAUUCUAAUGGACAGUUAUAUAGAAGCAUUAUUGGUUCUUUACUCUAUUUGGCAGCUACCAAGCUAGAUAUAAUGUUUGCAACAAGCUUGCUGCCAAGGUUCAUGCAAAAUCCUUCAGAAGUACACCUUGCUGCAGCUAAAAGGAUUCUAAGAUAUGUUAGAGGGACUGUGAAUUAUGGACUGGUGUACAUGAAGUAGGAGAGUAGUCAGCUGAUAGGUUUUUCUGAUAGUGACUGGGCAGGUUCAUUGGAUGAUUCUAAGAGCACAUGAGGUUUUUGUUUCUCAUUUGGAAGUGUUGUGUUUGCUUGGAGUUCCAAGAAACAGCCAAUGGUAGCUCAAUCAACAGCAGAAGCAGAAUACAUGGCAUGUGCAGCUGCUACCAAUCAUGCUUUAUGGUUGAGGAAGCUAUUAGAUGAGCUAGGGUUUAAGCAAGAAAAAAGAACACUGAUUAAUGUUGACAACUUGUCAGCAAUUGCUAUAUCGAAGAAUCCUGUUCAACAUGGGAGAACUAAGCACAUUAGAGUUAAGUACCAUGCUCUUAGAAAAGUUGUAAAAGAGGGAGAGAUUGAAUUGAUUCAUUGCUCAACAAGUGAUCAGCUUGCUGAUAUAUUCACUAAGAGUUUGGGAAGAGAGAGAUUUGAAUGUUUGAGACAAUGUCUUGGUGUUCAUCAGAUUAUGAAUUAAGGGGUUGUGUUGAAAGGUAAUUCAUACUCUGACAGUGAUAGCAUGUGAAGAACAAGAGAAGAGCUUCAGCUUUUUAGUGCAAAACGAUGACGUUUAUUCAUCAGCAAUUAUAAGUUUCCAAAGUGUGCCGUUUUACUCUUUUAUGUUUUAAGUUGGCUGUACUCAAAAUGAUCUUGCUCAUGUCAUUUUUUAGCUAAGUUUAGUUAAGUCCUAUAUGCUUCAUUUUAGUGUCGUUUUUGAGUUUGUUUUAAGGCUUAACAACCAUGGUUUUCUGUUUCAAUUUUUUACCGUUGAGGGAUCAUUGGUUUGUGUGUAGUUUGUUGCUGUGAUCCGAUUUAUCAAGAAAUGUUUUUGAAUUGUUAGAAUAUAUAUACUGGAAAUGAAAUGAAAUUUACACUUCUUCCCAGUAAGAAAUUUUCGGUUCACAUUCUCUGGAAUUCUUGAUUCUUCAGACUUCUCAGACUUCUUUGUUUUUUAAGCUUUGUUUUUCGUUGCUUAGCUUUGCAACUUAGCUUUUAAUUUUCUUCAAAAAUCAACCUUUUCAUGUGUGUUAAUUUGUGUGUAAGUCACAUUUUUAAGUUCAUUUACCUUACCACUUUGAGCAGAAGGAGAGUUUGUUUUCAAACUUCGUAGCUUUUAUCAUAUUCGGCUAUUAUCGAUGAACAAUUGUGUGCCUAUUAGAUUUUAUCAUAUAUUUAUGGGAUUGGCUUGUUUCUUGUAUGUGGCUAUUGUCACUCUUCUUUUAAAUUUUUUUCUUUUUCAAUUAAAAAAAUCACAACUUUCCUUACUAAUUAUUCCUAUUUUCUUCAGUUAAAGUAUUAAAAUUAACAAUUAAGAAACUUUUACACGAAAUGUUAAAAUAGAAAAAAAAAAAAAAAAGAAGAAAACAACGUCAUACUCUGCGUGGUGCAUAAACAUUUGUCUGCUACAUUUUUUUCUUCAAGCUUUCUACUCUUUGAAGCUAAGGUUGUAUCACUGUGAUAAUGGUUUCUUCUGCAGUGAUAUUCUGAUGAUUCAAGUUUACAUCAAUGUAUAGUUUAGUUCUAGCUUGCAUAUUGAAAUGUAGGACAUGUAAUAUAGUUUAAUUAGUUUCCUCUGCUGCAAAGUCCUCUUUGGCACUUAAAGACCAGAGAUGAACCAAGGGUGGAGGGUUGUGUGUUUAUGGAGCUGUAACCUCUCCAAAAAUUUAAAAAUGUUGUAUAUAUUAUAUAUUUUUUGUCUUUUUUUUAAGGGUAUAUAUUUUUUUAUCUGAAUGCCUUCUCGAAAAUUUUUAAUCUUUAUUCUUUUUGUAAUUUUAACCCCCAACAAAAGUUGAUUAACUCUACCCCUGAAGUAUAGUACGAAAACUUAAAUUCGCAACUUCUUCCUCUGUUUUUCUUUUGUAUUCGCAGCCUCUUUGCAUCCUUAUCCGCAUAAUAUCAAACAAUUAGCAUUUGCAUUACGCAAAGGGCUUACAUAUGGCAGGUGGUGUUUGGGCCACAGUUCAACAAAAUCUCAGUUAGGAUUUUUGUGAAGGAGUUUUGAUUCUGCUGGAGAAGGUGAGUUAAUCUGAACAAUCAAGUAGGUAUACUUCCAUUUGUGGUCUGUUUUGUCCUUGAACAUUUCGGUAAAAACUUUCCCAGCUCCAUGUGGUCCACGAAUAUAGAAAUUAACCUGUCUAGAAUUGGUAAAGAAGCAAUCACAAAUCAAAGUUUCAACAUGAGAGAUCUAGGACUCAACAAUCUUUUCUUAUGUUGAAGGGAAGCCUGCUCUGUGGAGUGGUUAUCUCAGAAAAACCCUACAAAAAUUUGCUAUGAAAAAUGUGCGCCUGCAUAUGCUUUUACCCUUGGCCUUUGUGGCAAGGUACAUUGAAUUUUAGGCACGUAGUUCCUGAAGUAAUUCAAUUAUUCAAUGAUCAACCAGCUGCUCCCAUUAUUCAAUUAUUCAAUAUAUCAAAACUUAAAUUCUUGGUGUUGCAGUUUUGUAGGAACCGAGAGUAAUGAACAAGGUUCUCUCAUAUCUAGCAACGGAAAACGCCAACCUUGUUUCUGCAAGUCUUAUCCUUUGAUUGCACAAGUCUUCUAAUUAGAAGUCAACCCUAAACUAUUAUUUAGUUUAGAUUGCACAUCUUCAUUAAUAGUUAGCAGUUUGUAGUUACAUGCAACUUAGAAACUUUAUUGCUCGCAUUAAUCUAGAAUAUUGAAUGCUAGCGAGGUCUCUUUCUAAGGAGGAAUACCAUAUGCUCAUUGUUCUCUUUACCAUAAAAUAUUAUUCAUUAAUAAGGGUCAAUCUUGCAAGGAAAAUAUUAUUUUUCGGCUCCUUCUCAGUUCGCAUUAUGAGGUAGUACAUUAUUCUAUUUCUUUGGUGUAGGUAAAUAUAAGGGUGACUAACAGGCAAUAUUUUUAACAAAUUAAAAACUAAUGAAAAAUGUUUGAAUUUUAAUUUAGAAUUCUUGACAUUCUCUCUUUUCACACUAAAAAAGACUUUCAUUGAAGAAUGACAACGUUUCUCUUUGUUUUUCAUUUGUGGAUCUCACAACAUUUUUUGAAAGUAAUUAAGAGACAUUGAAGAAAUGAAUUAAAGUAGUGCAAAAUUGUCACAGUAUCUAUAUUAAGAAAAUAGGAAAGUAAGGUCUUUGAAAAUCAAUGGCAAUGUGUUUUUAGAGUACUUAACUUGGGCACGAGUCAUGACAAAUAUGUUCGAGCGUUUUCAUCACCAACAACUUUGGGAUAGCCACUAUCAGAGAAGAAUGGGUAGUAAGUCAAGAAUAUUACUAUAAUCGUUGCCAAAGCUAGCUUAAAGGUUAUGAAAUAUGAACACUUUCUAUCCCUUGAGGUCACCUCAACAUUCUUAAAUGGUCCCACGAUUACUCAUUUAUCCUUAAGAAAUAAGGUCCUGCAAUUGCCUAGUGUGCCUGCCACACACAAAAAAUCGCUUGUAUCCUAUUGAAAAGAAACUCUAAAUUCAACUAUUCUCUAACUCAUAUUUCUGUGAAAUACUUAAUUGACAAAAAUCAUAGUCAAACCUUUAGUAAUAUAAGGAAAGGGCAAAAGUUCUAUUUCUAUGUUUAUUAAGGUAAAAUACUUAAAACCCUUUAAGUUUUUAUCGAAAUUUCAAACAAAUCCAUUAGUUUUUAAAAUAGACACUGCAUGUCAAAAAAAUAUCUUCUACUAGACACAUAAGUCUAAUUGUUAGCCAACUAUUAGUGUUUAAGUUAAUUUGAUGAUAUGACAAUAUUGAAAAGAUAUUUUUUUUUUAUUAAUUUUAAAAAUUACUAUUAUAUUUUUUUUUUUUGCAAAAUAAAAAAUCAAGAUAGGGGAGCACUAGAUCCAUGCUUCCAAAGGUGCUCCCCUCCUUUGGGAACACCUGGUCAAUGCUCCAUUUUACCUUUGUUUUUUCUUUUUGCUUGAUGAUGCUUAUUAGUUGUUGCUUAAAUUUGAUGUAAAUCAUCAUUUAUGAGACAAUCAAGUCAAUGCUUACUUAGUUGUUUUUUUAAAAAGUAUCUUUUAUAUAUUAAAAAAAUUGAUAAUGAUAUAAAAAAAAAGACUUUUAACACAUUUGAAAUGGUUAACCAUGUUUAUGCAUAUCUUCUAUAUAUAUAUAUUAAAAAAACUGAUAAUAAUAUUAAAAGAAUCUUUAAAAGAUUUAUAAUCAUAUCCCUAAAGAAAAAGGAUUCUUCACAUUAUUAAAUUUGUUUAGCUGGGUUACUAAUGUUACAUGUCAAAGCUUAAAUCCAUCCUCUUGCAACCUAGAAUUCACGGGACCAAUUUCCCAACUCUAAAGACAUGCUUGAUAGAUGGUGAAAAACUCAUGUUUAUAUAUCAAAAACCCACUCAAUCUCUUAUUGAUGUGGGAUUUGUGACAUUUUAUCCUAUCUAAUUAUGCAACGCCCUCAUUGCACUGUUUUUUUACUCGUAGAGAAGAGAGACUCUUACACUAAUCUAAGUUUAACUCAACUCUUAUAUCUCUCAUGGGGAUCCCACAUCAAUUAAGAUCUAGGUCUCCUCUGAUAUCAAUUGUCAUAGGUCAAAAUUUAAGCUUAACUUCGUACGGUCUUAAAUUUUGAAAAUAGAAUUUAAAUAAACCUAUAAAUUACGAGUCCAAAAGGGAUUCUUACAUUAAUCCGGAUCUACCUCGACCCUUAUAUCUCACAUGGAAACCCCAUAUUAAUGAAGAUUCAGCUCUCCUCUGAUAUCAAAUGUCAUAGACCGGAACUUAAGCUAUAAAUUACGACCCCAAAAGGGACUCUUAUACUAAUCUGAGUCCACCUUGAUUCUUAUAUUUUUCAUGCGGAUCCCAUAUCAAUAAAGAUCUAGAUUUCCUUUUAUACCAAAUGUCAUAAAUCAGAACUUAAAUCUAAUCUCGUACGGUUUUAAACUUUAAAAAUAAAAUUUAAAUAAACUUAUAAAUUAAGAGCCCAUCACAACCAAUGUGAAGAAAAAGAAUUUUCCACGUUAUUAAAUUUGCUUAGUUGGGUCAUCAAUCAUAUUUUAAACUCAAACGCCCGCGGUGGGGCUCAAACAACGACCACAAAGAUUAAGAGCCUUGCGUUCUACCUACCAAGCUAGAUAGGUUGACGUCAUAAACCAAAGUCCUUGUUUGGUAACGUUUUUUAAUAAUGUUUGCAAAUAACAACUAGUGUAUUAAAAAAAAAGGUACAUACAUAUUGAGAUAUAGAAAUGUUGGAGGGAAAAUAAACUUUUUUUUGAAAAAAAAAAAAGGUCUAUGAUCUAACUAUAACUUAGGUGAGAGAGUCCGUAUCUAUUCAAUGAACCCUGACUGCUACUCUCGCUUGAAGCCUUUCAAUGAAGAGAUGUCCUUAAGUAUUUCCACCAUGUUCACUGCCACUUCCUCACUUGCCCUUCAACUACACAGAGUAAAUUAGAUGCUAGAAGUAUAUAUAGCAUCAUUAAUUUGAAAAUUGACAAACUUUAGUGUAAUUAUAUUGAAUUUAAUUGUUCUGCAAUAUUCUCUUACACAUUUUCCUCAUAGCUAGCUAUUUUACUUUUAGAUAUCAUGAAUAUCUACAAAUUACCAUCUGUUAAAAAUAUUAUAAUUGAAAAUUCUUAAAAUUAUUCUUGUUUUCUUUGUACUAGCAUAUAUGCCUUUACCGCUUUAUAGCUAAUACAUGUCAAUUUGUUAUAAUUAAUUUAAAUUUAAUCUUUAAAUCCUAUUAAAUCUUCUAUAUAUGAAAUAAUUAUUUUAUCAAAUUACACGUAAAACCGAACAAAGUGAGUCAAGAUAUGCAUAUUACUCAAACCUUUUAGGAUUAAUUUAUCAACAUAAAUCUGCAAUCCCAAAUCUUUCAUUAACAAUUUCCUUACUAUAUAUGCCUAUUGUGGUUAUGGAAUACCUUUUCAUGGGCUUGCUUGCGAUGGCGGUAUCCCUGAAUUCAAUUCAUGAAUUAGUGAAAAGAAGUCAGAUAUAUCAUAGGCAAAUGAACCAAAAUGUAAAUGUUAAUUAUAAUUUGUAUAUAUACAGACAGACCUUAUUAGUUCCAUAGAUAAAAUCACAGUAGGUAAAAACCGAAGCAAAAUUGCUCUGACUUUGUCCUCCAACAUAGUGAUGAUAAUCAUGGUACUUCGCACCAACGUAAAAUGGUAUGAAUUUGGUCGGACUCCAAGGAAACUCAAACCUUGUAUCAGUAUGGUUCAUAUAUAUGCACAAUACAAAAAGGAAGGAAAUUAAAGAGAACUCAGCUAUUACAAAAUUUAUACAGAAAUAUAAUUUUAUAAGAAUACUCAAUUCAUCUAUUUUAUAAAAGUACUCUGUUCUUCUUUAAAUAUUUGUCUCUUUUUGACUUUUGUCAAGAUUAGGAUCAAAUUUUGAUUUUGAUGUACUUAAUAUUACAAUUUGAAAAGCGUUUAGCAUAAAGCUUUUAAAAAAUCUUUGACCUAUUUAGAAAAUUUUAAAUAAUUUUCUUUUGUUAUUACGUUUGAUCAGAUUUAUGCAUUUCUAUUUUCAAUUAUAUAGACUCUUAUGAUUAAUAGUUAAUUAGUUGUCAUUAAUCAAAAUAUCACUUGUUAAUUUUUAUAUCAUGAAAAUAUGUUUAUUAUAUAAAAAAAAAGUAAAAAUACUAAGUGUCCUAAGAAAAGGAAAUACAUCAUUUCGAAACAUUCCAAAAAGAAAAUGAACAAAGAAAAAAAAGACAAAAGGAAUUAUAUAUUGUUCAAAUUUAUUUAAUGACACAAUAUUUCAAAAUAAUUAAAGUCAUAGUUCAAAAUAUUGGAUAAAAAAGUCAAAUUAAUGAAAUAUUUAUCAAAAGGAGGGUAUAAGCUAAGUAUCAAGUGGGUUAGUUAGUCUCCACCCAAUUAAAAUUUUUUUCAAUUACUUAUAUGAAAAUGUACAAUCAAUGAUAAAAUCACGUACAUAUGAAAGGGUGAUGAUGAAUUUAUGAAAAAAGUAAUGUCGACUUCGUAUAUAUUAUAUAAAUUUACCCGUUGUGUGCGUCGAUGGCCUCGACAAGGCGCAAACUGGUCCAAAGGUAGAGUGUGAUCAUGUGGCAUGGAACCAUGACCGGACCAAAAAAUGUUGGAAUACCGAAUAUCAAAAUUUCGGCCCAGUGGGUAUAAAGAGCUGUAAAUCCAAACGAAGCUCGGUAUUCAUGGUGCAUGUAGUGGAUUUUAUCGUAGCCCCAUUGGCUAUGGAGCAGCAGCCGAUGGAACCAGUAGCUGGCGUAGUCUUCGAAAAGGAAGUAAACCAACAAUUGACUUAAAACCUCCCACAACGACGGCAAUGGCAAGCUUGUAUGAAUCCCAACCCACUGCAUAAACACCCAGAAACGCAAAUGAACUUAAAAAAAAAAAAAAGAACAACAACAACGAGAAAGAUUCUGGCUUGGUACGAAAGCAAGCGUUGACUGUCCCAUGUCGCUUCAAUCUACAGUUCGUCAUACCUUAAUGGCAGGGAAGGAAACGAAUAGAAGAGGACACAACACAAAAGCAAACAUCUUCAUAACAUGUUUAUAACAAUUAAACAUGUCGGAGAAUGAUAUUUUUAUGUUGGGUUGAAUCUUGAACUCGGCCAUUCUCUUUGACUGACUCAGCUCCAUGAACGCACAGGGGAGAGGGACCAAGGAGAACACCACGAUCAUGAAAAGCGCAUUGUGACUAUAAAGGAGGAAGUCCGAUUUCUGAGCUGAAUAGUUGUACCACAGUCUCUCCGCCAGGGUUAGGUUUCUCCCUAGAGCCAACGCUGCUUCUUCAAGGGUUUGAUAUGGCAGCAUUUUGUUCUUUUUCACUUUCUUAACCUUGGCAAUACAACAGUAUAUGUAAGAUUGUAGCAAGAAAUUUUAUAUAUAGUGAGAGGAAGAAAGAGAGAUUGAAGGAACGGCUGGGGUGCUUUGAAGUUUAGACAAAAUCUAUGCUUAACAAUUCAAAGACGGUAAGCUCUUAAGGGAGUGCUCGAUCUCAGAAUUUACCACGAGAACUAUCACGAAGUUUUUUGGUAUGAUGAAAAACACUUGUUUGAUUUUAUUUUUUUUCUGGAUCGAAUAAAAAUUUUAUUUAAUAUCAAUAAAAAUUGACACUUAUCAUAACAUAUCAAAUAAAACAAAUUAUAAUAACAUUAAGUGAAACAAAGAAAUUACAAUCUUCUUAAAACAAUAAUUUUUUCGUUUUUGGGAUGAUGCUAUAUAUGGUAUGUUUUGAAAUUUUGAUGCCUCAUUGUCUGGACUUUUAAUUUAAAAAUUAUCACGUUUGAUUGCAAUAGGCCCGAUUCUAUUAAAAGAUCACAUCAGUAAAUAUUAGGAUAUUUUGAUUGCAAAAUUGCACGCUUUGGUCGGUUUUUUUCACUAGUUAGCAAUAGCAGUAGAAUUAAUCAAAGAUUUAAGCCUUAUUAAGUCCGACGGAGUGUUCAAACUUUAAUUUUGGGACACUUGUUAAGCCCCAACUUUAGAUUUAUUUUAAUAAAUACUUAAGGUCAGACAUAGAUGUAGCAACUUAAUUUCAUCAAAAGUGAAGUAAUUAGUUAAAGAUAAAAGUAAAGAAAAUCAAUACCGUCAUAAGAAUAUAAGUACGUACCACUGAUGUUGAAGAGGAGGAGGAUCAAGAGAAACAGCUCGAGGCUCAAAGUGCGAAAUGAACCAGCUUAGUUGGAUUAUUGAGUACAACAGAAUCCGGAAAUUCUUGGUGCUGACCGAAAGUAUUGAACAAGGUUCUCUCAAAUCUAGCAGAGGAAAGCGCCCCCCAUGUUUCUUUAAAUCUUGUCCUUUGAUUACACAAGUCUCCUAACUACCCUAAAUUAUUAUUUAGUUUAAAUUGUACAUCUUCAUAAUGCUUGGUAGUUAGUAGCUACAUGCAACUUAGAGACUUUAUUGCUCAGAUUAAUCUAGAAUAUUGAAUGCCAGUCAGGUCUCUUUCAAGGAGGAAUAUAUGCUCAUUGUUCUCUUUACCAUAAAAUAAAAUGUUAUUCAUUGAAAAGGGUCAAUUUUGCAAGGAAAAUAUUAUUUUUCGUCUCCUUCUAGUUCACAUUAUGAGGCAGUACAUUAUUCUAUUUCUUUGGUUUAGGUAAAUAUAAGGGUGACUAACAGCCAAUAUUUUUAACAAAUUAAAAACUAAUGAAAAAUGCUUGAAUUUUGAUUUAGAAUUUUUGACAUAAUUCUCUCUUUUCACACCAAAAAAGACUUUCAUUAAAGAAUGACAACGUUUCUCUUUAUUUUUUCAUUUGUGGAUCUCACAAUAUAUUUUGAAAGUAAUUAAGAGACAUCGAAGAAAUGGAUUCAAGUAGUGCAAAUUUGUCACAGUUUCUAUAUUAACAAAAGUAGGAAAGUAAGGUCUUAACGUAUGAUAAAUGAAUGGCAGAGACUAAGGUUCAUCUUUCUUAAGAAAAUGAAUGACAGAGACUGGGAGUAGCGUUAACUGCUUGAUAAUUACGCAGAUAAAGAUGCAGAGCUGAACCACAGUACUCAUUGCGUUAAGGUCAUAUCAGACACUGAAAAGGAAAGAAAAAUGAAAACCCAGAAAGCAAAAUGGGCUUAAACCAAGGGUAAUAAAACUCAUUCAUCCCCUACCCUUGGACGAAUUCCAGGUCCUGUUCUUAUACUUGCACCCACUUCCGUCAAAUCUUCCACCUGUUCAAAUGAAAUUAUAAAAACAAAAUUAAAACGUUUAGAUUGCACAUGUCUCUAUUAAUAUAUUAUAUUUUUAUUUAAUUUUAAUUAUAAAAUAUAUUUAAAAAUAUUAAUAUAAAAUUAUUUUUAUAUUUAAUAAUAAAUAUAACUUAAAUGAAUGAGUUCGACUUAAAUUUUCAAAAUACCAAUUAAACCUAAUCACUUUUAAAGAUCGACUAUUCAUUUUUUAUUUUUUUAGUCAAAAAAAUUUUUAAAAGAAAGAAGUUUGAAAAAAAUUGAGAUCUUGAUUAUUUUUGUUUAUUUUAAUAUUUUGUAUAAAACUUGUUUAAUAGUCACAAGUUACACAUUUAAUGAAUUCAAGUGUUUAAUACUUUGCUUUGAACAAAAGAAAAAAUAAAGAAAUACUUAGUACAAAAAGUUAGGACCUUUGAAUAUAAAAAGCAAAAUGAAAAAGAAUGAAUGAUAGUAUCUAAAAAAACCUUACUACUAGUUGGUAAUUACAUACAAGGAACAAGCCAGUCGAAUAAAAAUAUGAUAAAAUGAAAUAAGCACACAAUUAUUCAUUGAUAGUAGCAGUACAUGAUAAGAGCAGCAAACUCCCCUUCCACUCAAAGGGGAAAGGCAAAUAAACUUAAAAGAGCAAAACACACACAAAAUAGCAGACAUAAAAGGACUAAUUUGAUUUUUCAUUGAAUCGAAGACUACAUUCAAGUAGAAGUAUUUGUUUUGUGGGCAUUGCUUUUUCUAAGAUUGCCAAUACGGUUUGUAUGAGAGUGAGUAUCACCACGAUGAAAGCAGCAACAGUCGCAGUUCCUCUCCAAAGAUCGUUGAAUAAACUUGCUUCAAGGUUGCCCAUCUACGAUUCCAAGAAUUUUUAUAAUGCCAGUUUAGCUCCAUACCGACAUCACCAUAAAGCAAAGUUGAAUGUACAACUCCCACCGCAAGAUUGUUAAUCAUAUUUGCCACAGCUACACUGCUACCCAAUCUAUUGACAAUAAUCUCUUCCUUUACUAGUAAAUCUACAUCUUCAUUAGUGUCAACAAGAGAGUCUAGUAGUUUAAUAUAAUUACAAAAGUAAGUUCUUUUUGGAUAAUAAUAUUGUUUGAAAGUCAUCAAGUUUCUAAAACGAAUCUCAGUCUCGUACUCCACAUCGAUAGUUAACAAUUUUAGCACUCCUUUCUCAAAUCGUACCUGAAGCAAGCCGUACGUGGUGGUUUUGAGCAUAUCAUCCAUAAGCAUAUCUAUAAGCUCAACACCUUCAUACUCAAGACCACCAAUCUUAUAACAAUUAUAUGAAACACCAUUAAACACAACACCAAAAUCAUCAUUAACUACAGCACAUUUAAACUCAACACCAGCCUCAUGCAACCUCGUUGCGCUGUGCAUGUUGUGGCUUCCUACGCGAAAAUGGCUUCCUGUAGGACUUGUGUUCAACGGACAAGCCCUCAGCACUUGAUAUCUAAUUAAAUUUGUGAAGUGUUUAAUCUUCUUUUUCUCGAAUGAUGGAUCUUUAUUGACACCGAAGUACAAGCAAACAAGAUCGAGAAAAGAGGGUUCACUGGAGGUAAGGAAAGCUAGCUUAUUUAGAUCUUCAAGGACGAAGAAUGGAAGUUGAUUUUCAAGUAACAUCAAAUCUGUUAGAAGUUUAACUCUUAACAAUGCACUUUGGUUUAAGAAGUCGAAGUAGACAUCCUCCUCAUCAUCGUUGUAGCCCUCCUUGGUGGAUUCUUGUUUUUUCGUCAAAUCCCUCAAGAAGAGGGUAAUGAUAAAAACUGCAUCACAUAAUAUCAUCUCAAUAAGCUGGGAAGCGUCCAACUUAUAGAUAGAUUGGAUGUCAUAACACCUGCCUAUACGUCUUAAAUUCCAUAUGACGUAUUCAUGAAAUUCUGUCAAUCUCUACCAAGAAACGGUUAGCGAAAAUUUAUCAUAAUAUCUCUUCUUUUGCAACUCCAUUUGAGCCAAAUUUUUGUUACCAGGAUGCAUAGGUCCUAUUGAAAUCAAGUGAGGAGUGUAGGCUUCUUCGUUUCCUGCACGAAAACAUCUAGGGACCUUGUAAAGUUUCAAAGUGUGAAUUAAACCCGAUCACUUUUAAUGACCAACUAUUCAUUUUUUAUUUUUUCUUCAGUUAAAAAAAAUUUUUUCUUAAAGAAAGAAAUUUGAAAAAGAUUGAGAUCUUGGUUAUUUUUGUUUAUUUUAAUAUUUUGUAUAAAACUUUUUUAAUCAUCACAAGUUACACAUUUGAUGAAUUCAGGUGUUUGUUUUAAUACUUUGCUUUGAACAAAAGAAAAAAAAACGGACUACUUAGUACAAAAAGUUGGGACCUUUGAAUAUAAAAAGCAAAAAGAAAAAGAAUGAGUGAUACCAUAUAUAAAAAUCUUACUACUAGUUAGUAAUUACAUACAAGGAACAAGCCAGUCGAAUAAAGAUCUGAUAAAACGAAAUAAGCACACAAUUAUUCAUUGAUGGUAGCAGUACAUGAUAAGAGCAACAAACUCCCCUUUCACUCAAAGUGGAAAUGCAAAUAAACUUAAAAGAGCAAAACACACAUAAAUUAACACACAUAAAAAGAUUAGCUUUAUCUUUCAUUGAAUUGAAGACUGCUUUCAAAGUAGGAGUAUUUAUUUUGUGAGUGCUCCUUUUUCUAAGAUUGCCAAUACGGUUUGCAUGAGAGUGAGUAUCACCACGAUAAAAGCAGCAACAGUCGCAGUUCCUCUCCAAAGAUCGUUAAAAUAGACAUGCUUUAAGGUUGCCAUUCUACGGUUCCAAGAAUUUUUAUAAUGCUGGUCUAGAUCCAUACCGAUUUCACCAUAGAGCAAAGUUGAAUGUACAACUCCCACCGCAAGCUUGUUAAUCAUUUUUGCCACAGCUUCACUGCUACCCAAUCUAUUGACAAUAAUCCCUUCUUUUACCAAUAAAUCUACAUCUUCAUUAGUGUCAACAAGAGAGUCUAGUAAUUUAAUAUAACUACAAAAAUAAGCCUUUUUUGGAUAGUAAUAUUGUUCGAAGGCCAUCAAGUUUCUAAAACGAAUCUCAGUCUCGUACUCCACAUCAAUAGUUAACAAUUUUAGCACUCCCUUCUUAAAUUCUACCUCAAGCAAGCCGUACUUAGUAGAUCCAAGCACAUCAUCCACAACCAUAUUGCCAAAACCUUCAAACUCAAAAUCACCAAUCUUAUUACAAAUAUAUGAAACACCAUUAAACAUAACACGAAAGUAAUCUUUAACUGUAGUACUUUUAAACUGAACACCAGCGUCAUGUAAUUUCGUUGCACUAUGCAUGUUGUGGUUUCCCAUAUGUAUAUCAUUGUCCAACUUUGGACAAUUCAUCAACACUUGAUAUCUAAUUAAAUCCGUAAAAUGUUUAAUCUUCUUUUUCUUGAAUGAUGGAUCUUUUUUUAUACCGAAAUACGAGCAAGCAAGAUCAAGAAAAGAGUAUUCAUUGGAGGCUAGCUUAGCAAGAUCAAGAGAAGAGUAUUCAUUGGAGGAAAGAAAAACUAACUUAUAUAGAUCUUCAAGGACGAAGAACGGAAGUUGAUUUUCAAGUAACAUCAGAUCCGUUAGAAGUUUAACUCUUAACAAUGCACUUUGGUUUAAGUCGUAGUAGUCAUCCUCCUCCUCAUCAUGGUAGUAGUCCUCGUCGGUGAAUUCUUGUUUUUUCGCCCAAUCACUCAAGAAAAGCGUAAUGAUAAAAACUGCAUCAUGGAAUAUUAUCUCAAUAAGCUGGGAAGCCUCCAACAUAUAGAUAGACUGGACGUCAUAACACCUGCCUAUACGUAUUACAUUCAGUUCAAUAGAGCUCAUAAAAUCUUUCAAUGUUUUCUCCGAAGUCUUUCGCAGAAAUUUAUCGUAAUAUCUCUUCUUUUGAAACUCCAUUGGAGCCAAAUUUGGGUCACCAUGAUGAGUAGGCCCAAUUGAAAUCAAGUGAGGAGUGUAGGCUUCUUCGUUUCCUGCACGAAAACGUCUAGGGACCUUGUAAAUACAACACUCACGCCCAGGCUCUGAGUCUUCUUCAGGGAUAUCAAUUGCUGAAUCUUUGGGUUGGUCGUUGUUUUCAUUUAGUGGAGCAAUUUCUUGGUCGGUGUUUGCUGCCAUAUAUGCAACUUCCUUCUCAUGUAAACAAACGACAAUUAACAUCAAUAAGCAAUAGCAAUAGAAUUAAUCAAGCCACAAGUUCAGAUUAAAGCUUUAUCAAGCCACAACUUUAGAUUUAUCCCAAAAAACAUAGGGUUCGAUUCAGAUGAAAGAACUUAAUGUCAUUAAAAGUGAAGCAAUUAGCUAAAGAUAAAAUAUAAAUAAAAUCAAAACCCUCAUAAGAAUAGAAGUACAUACUUCUGAUGCUGAAGAAAAAAUCAAAGUAGUAGAAACAGCUCAAGGUUCAAAUUGCGAGAUGAACCAACUUGGUUUCGGUAUUGAAUACAACUGGUUCCGGUAAGUCUUGACGAGAGCAAUGAGCAAAGUUCUCUCAAAUGUUAUAUAGGAAAAUGCUCACCUUGUUUCUUAAGUUCCAUCCUUGGAUCGAACAAGUCGUCUACGAGUCAAUCUUUCGUACAAAAAAUUAUUGCUUGCUAGUUGUCAGGUCCGUGGCUUUGGAUGCGGGUCCUAUCUGCACCCUGGGUCGGUCCCAUGCACCCGUGAAUCACAAUCGUAUGUGGGACUCGCUAGACCUGGCUGAGUGAAAGCAUGGGUCCGACCCAAAUUCUACCCACACUUGGCUCUCCAUGCGAAUUAAUACUAGCCUAACAGGAGGAGUUCUUCCACCCUCGUAUCAACAAAACAUGUGGCGAAACAAUUUCUUUCAGUCAAUUCCAAUCCAUUUUUUCUAGCCAUAGUGGGGAAAUCAAUGUCCCACAUGUUUCGGCUCUUUGGCUGCGCUACCACCGUUGAAUGGUAGUUUUUGUAAACAUAUUUAAUGAAAUAAUAUAUCUUUUACUUUUCAAAAAAAAUUCCUAAGUCAUUUUUUUUAUCAGGGGAGCAGCUGGUUGAUCAUUGCAUAAUUGAAUUAUUCCAGGAACUACGUGCCUAAAAUUCAAUGUACCUUACCCCAAAGGCCAAGGAUAAAAGCAUAUGCAGCCCCACAUCUUUCAUAGUGAAUUUUUGUAGUGUUUUUCUGAGAUAAACACUCCACAGAGCAGGCUCCCCUUCAACAAAAGAAAAGAUGGUUGAGUCCUAGGUCUCUCAUGUUGAAACUUUGAUUUGUGAUUGCUUCUUUACCAAUUCCAGACAGGUUAAUUUCUAUAUUCGUGGACCACAUGGAGCUGGGAAAGUUUUUACCGAAAUGUUCAAGGACAAAACAGACCACAAAUGGAAGUAUUAUCUAUUUGAUUGUUCAGAUUAACUCACCUUCUCCAGCAGAAUCAAAACUCCUUCACAAAAUCCUGACAUUUUGUUGAACCGUGGCCCAAACACCACCUGCCAUAUGUAAACCCUUUGCGUAAUGCAAAUGCUAAUUGUUUGAUAUUAUGCAGAUAAGGUUGCAAAGAAGUUGCGCGUAUAAAAGAAAAUCAGAGGAAGAAGUUGCGAAUUUAAGCUUUUAUACUAUAAUUCAGGGCAGAGUUAAUCAACUUUUAUUGAAAGUUAAAAAUAAAAAAAUAAAGAUUAAAAAUUUUUGAAAGGACAUUAAGAUAAUAUAUAUAUAUAUAUAUAUAUAUAUAUAUAUAAUAUACACAACAUUUUAAAAUUUUUGAGAAGUCACAGCCCCAUAAACACACUACCCUCUCCACCCUUGGUUCAUCUCUGUCUUUGAGUGCCAAAGAGGACUUUGCAGCAGAGGAAACUAAUUAAACUAUAUUACAUGUCCUACAUUUCAAUAUGCAAGCUAUAACCAAAAUAUACAUUGAUGUAAACUUGAAUCAUCAGAAUAUCACUGCAGAAGAAACCAAUAUCACAGUGAUACGACCUUAGCUUCAAAGAGUAGAAAGCUUGAAGAAAAAAAUGUAGCAGACAAAUGUUUAUACACCACACAGAGUAUGAGGUUGGUUUUUUUUUUUUUUUGUUUAUUUUAACAUUUUGUGUAAAAGUUUCUUAAUUGUUAAUUUUAAUACUUUAACUAAAGAAAAAAGGAAUAAAUAGUAAGGAAAGUUAUGAUUUUUUUAAUGGAAAAAGAAAAAAAAUAAAAGAAGAGUGAUAAUAGCCACAUACAAGAAACAAGCCAAUCUCAUAAAAAUAUGAUAAAAUCUAAUAGGCACACGAUCGUUCAUUGAUAGUAGCAGUACAUGAUAAAAGCUACGAAGGUUGAAAACAAACUCUCCUUCUACUCAAAGUGGUAAGGUAAAUAAACUUAAAAGUGUGAAAUAAACACAAAUUAACACAUAUGAAAAGGUUGAUUUUCACUUUAAUUGAAUAGAAAACUGCAAUCAAGUAAGAGUAUUUUAUUUUAUGAGCUUUGCUUGAGCUAAGAUUGUCAGUAUGGUUUGUGUGAGAGUGAGUACCACCACGAUCAAAGCAACAACAGUUGCAGUUCCUCUUCAAAAAUUAUUCAAAUAAACAUGCUUCGAAGUUACCAUUCUACAAUUUCAAGAAUUAUCAUAAUAGUAGUUUAGACGCAUUCCAAUUUUGCCAUAGAGAAAACUUGAGUGUAAGACUCCCACCGCCAGAUUGUUAAUCAUAUUUGCCACAGCUGCACUGCAACCCAAUCUAUUGACAAUAAUCUCUUCUUUUACCAAUGAAUCUAUAUCUUUAUCAGUAUCAACUAGAGAAUCUAAUAAUUGAAUAUAAUUACAAAAAUGAACCUUAUGUGAAUAGUGACAUUAUUCGAAAGCUAUCAAGGUUAUAAAAUGAGUUUCAAUUUCGUACGCCACAUUAAUAAUUGAGAGUUUUAGCACCCCUUUCUCAAAUUCUAUAUUAAGCAAACUAUUUAUAGUAUUAUUAAUUAUACUCUCAUCAAUCUUAAAUAUACCAUUUUUAACACCAAUAAACUUAACACCAACCUCACGCAACAACAUCGUUGCAUUUUAGAUGCUGUAAAUUUUCGACGAAUCAACGUUUCACAGCCGAUUACUCUCUACUUAAUAUUUAAUUAAAUCCGUAAAGCAUUUAAUCUCCUUUUCCUUCAAUGAUCAAUCUAUAUGGACAUUAAAGUACCAGCAAGCAAGUUCGAGAAAAGAGGUAUCAGACUUAGGAAAUGCUAGGUUAUAUAGUUCUUUAAGGACAAAGAAUGUAACAGCAAAUCUAUUAAAAGUUCAACUCUUAACAAUGCUUUGUGGCUUAAGAAGAAGUCGUCGUCGGAAUUUUUUUUUACUUUCCCUCGAGAAGAGCUCAAUGAUAAAAACUGCAUCAUGUAAUGAUUUCCGAUGUAGCUGGCAAAUUCUUUCAAUGUCUCCUCGGAAGUCCUUUCCAAAAAUUUCUUGUAAUACCUCAGCUUUUGCCGUUCCAUUUGAGCCAAAUUUUCAUUCCCAUGAUGAAUAGGUCCUAUUGAAAUCAAUUGAGGAGUGUAGGCUUUGUUGGUUUGCUUCAUGAAAACGACUAGGACCUUUAAAUACAACACUCGGGCACAAGCUCUAAGACUUCUACAGGGAUUUCAAUUUCCAAAUCUUGGGGUUGGUAGUUGUUUUCAAUUAGUGGAGCACUUUUUUGAUUGGUGUUCGCCAUAUUUGCAACAUCCUUUUCAUGUAAAACAAACGACAAGUCUCACUAGUGUGCAAUACCAACAAAAUUAAUCGUACCCCAACUUUGGUUUUGGGACACUUACUAAGGUUCAACUUUAGAUUUACCACAAAAACUUGGGAUCAGAUCCAGAUGAAAGAUCUUAAUUGCAUCAAAAGUGAUGCAAUUUGUUAAAGAUAAUAUAAAUAAAUAAAUAAAAUCAAUAGCCUCUUAAAUUAAGAAUAGAAGUACGUAGCUCUAAUGCUGCAAAGGAGGAUCAAACCAGAAGAAACAGCAAACAGCUCAAGGUUCAAAGUGCAAAAUGAGCCAACUUAGUUGCAAAGUAUUGAGUACAACUGGGUCCGGUAAGUCCUGGCGUUUCAAUUUUGUACGGCAGAGAGUAACGAACAACCUUCUUUAAAAUUUAACAGAGGAAAAUGCCCACCUUAUUUUUAAGACCCAUCCUUUGAUUGCACGAGUCGUCUACCAGUCAAUCUUCGAACAAAAUUAUUGCGUUUUCCUUGUCUUUUUUUGAAUGUGACAAAAUGUUAUUGCUCUUACUUUAUAUGGAGAUUUGACAUCACUAGGCACACUUCUCCAGCCAUUUCUUUUUUGAUAAUAAUUGGGGGUUAUCAAAAGUUGUAACCCACCAAAAGAGAAUUACUACCCUACAUAGUCAGAAAUGAAGUCACCAUGUACAAAACAUAUCUCAGAAGUCAGAAAAACAUCACAGCCCCUUCCUUUACAGCAUCAAAUAGAAAACAGCCCUGCCCCCUCAUCCAACAAGUACCCAUUCUGUGCAACUCUGGAAAAAGAGCUCAAAUCAUGUGGUCUCAUUCUGCUUUCGUACUCCUGAAAAUACUCACAUGUACAGCAUAUAUUUGUUAAAUCUACAUUGCAUGGUAUAUGUUGUUGUCACCAGUAGAACAUGGAAGAGGCCAUGAAUCCUGCAGAUAAUUGUAUGGAACGUGCAGCGAAGAGGCCAUGGGACAUUCGUCAAUAUUGCAAUUUUGUAGCCUUUUUUCUGAGAUAACCACUCCACAUACCAGGCUCCAACUCAACAAAAGGAAAAAAAAGUUGUUGAGUCCUAGAUCUCCCGUGUUGAAAAUUUGAUUAGUGAUUUUCUCUUAACCAAUUCAAAACAUGUUAAUUUCUAUAUUCGUUGACCACAUGAAGCUAGGAAACCUUUCACCAAACGUUCAAGGACAAAACAGACCAGAAAUGGAAGUUUGCCUACUUGAUUGUUCAGAGUAACUCACCUUCCCCGGAAGAAUCAAUUCUCCACCACCAUGAAUUGUCUCUUCCUCCUUCAGACUUCCACUGACUUCGCAGUUUGCCCCCUUGCUAAGCUGUUGCACUUCGCACUGCUUCCUUGAUUGGGUUGACCAGCGCCAUGCGUAUUAUUAUUUGGACCUUUCUUUUUAAUGGGCUAACACUUACAGCUUAAGUUGAUAUCAGCCCAACCCAACCACAAGAGGGUGGCUGGUGGAGCUCUCCAUGGGCCAAGUUAUCAGCCUUAGCCUGCAGGCCUGAUCCAAUAGGCAGGCCUGGAUAUGAUAUUCUAGGCUAAGGUUCUACAAGUCCUGACCCAAGAACACUGUUAUUUUUAUUAAUAAAUAUUAUAUUUUAUUUCAUUUUAAUUAUAAAAUAUAUUUUAAAAUUCAAAUGUAAAAUAUUUUUUAUAUUUAAUAAUAAAAUAUAUAUAAAAUGGGUGAGUUGGACUUAAGUUUUCAAGGAAACAACCAGACCAAAUUACCUUUAGUGAUCGGUUGUCUAUUUUUUAUUCUCUCUUUUAAUUAUGAGACUUGUUUUUUUAGUGAUAUAAGUUUGGAAAAAACCAUUUAAGAUCUUGAUUCUUUUUAGUUUAAAAUUUCGUGUAAAACUUUCUUAGUUAUUAUAAAUUAGACGUUUGAUGGAUUCUAAAAUUUUAUUUUAAUACGAUUACUUUGAACAAAAAGAGAGAGCAAUUAAUAAGGAAAGAUGUGGAUUUUGAAUAGAAACAAUCCAAUCCCAUAAAAAUAUGACAACAUCUAAUAGGAAUACAAUUGUUCCCUGACAAAAGCAACAAAGUUCGAAUCCAAACCACCCUUCUACUCACACGGUCAAGCAAAUAAACUUAGAAGUGCGAAAUAAACACAUAUUAGUACAAACAAAAAGACUGAUUUUAUUUUGUGGGCUUUACUCGUUCCAAGAUUGCCAAUAUAGUUUGCGUAAGAGUGAGUACCACCACAAUAAAAGCAGCAACAGUCGCAGUUCCUCUCCAAAGAUUGUUGAAGUAGACAUGCUUCAAGGCUGCCCAUCUAUGAUUCCAAGAAUUAUCAUUGUACUGGUUUAGAUCACGUCCGAUUUUGCCAUAGAGCGUAGUUGAAUGUACAAUUCCCACUGCAAGAUUGUUAAUCAUAUCCGCCACAGCUGCACUGCUACCCAAUCUAUUGACAAUAAUUCUUUCCUUUACCAGUAAAUCUACAUCUUCACUAGUGUCAACAAGAGAGUCUAGUAAUUGAAUAUAACUACAAAAGUGAGCCUUAUAUGGAUAGUGACAUUGUUCGAAAGCCAUCAGAUUUCUGAAACGAGUCUCACUUUCAUACGCUACAUCAAUAGCUGGGAGUUUUAGCUCUCCCUUCUCAAAGUCUACGUCAAGCAAGCUGUUUAUAGUAUUAUUAAUUGUACUCCUACCAAUCUUAAAUAUACCACUUUUAACACCAGUAAACUUCACACCAGCCUCAUGCAACAUCGAUGCAUUGUAGAUAUUGUGGAUUCUCGACCGAUCAAUGUUUCGCGGACGAUUACUCACUACUUGGUAUCUAAUUAAAUCCGUAAAAUGUUUAAUCUCUUUUUCUUUCAAUGAUCGAUCAGUAUGGAUAUCGAAGUACCAACAAGCAAGUUCGAGAAAAGAGAUACCAGAGUUAGGAAAUGCUAGGUUAUAUAGUUCUUUAAGGACAAACAACGGGAGUUGAUUUUCAAGUAACAUCAAAUCUGUUGGAAGUUCGACACUUAACAAUGCUUUGCGGCUUAAGAAGUCAUCGUCGGAAUAAUUUUCACUUUCCCUCAAGAAGAGCUCAAUUAUAAAAACUGCAUCAUGUAAUAUUAUCUUCUUAAACUUGGGAGCCUCUAACAAAAGAAUACACUGGAUUUCAUAACACCUACAUAUACCUUCUGCAUGAUCUUCGAUGUAGCUCUCAAAUUGUUUCAAUGUCUUCUCACAAGUCCUUUCUGAAAAUUUCUUGUAAUAUCUCAGCUUUUGCCGUUCCAUUGUAGCCAAAUUUUCGUUACCAUGAUGAAGAGGCCCUAUUGAAAUCAACUGAGGAAUGUAGGCUUUUUGGUUUGCUUCACGAAAACGACUAGGGACCUUGUAAAUACAACACUCAGGCGCAAGCUCUAAGACUUCUACAGGGAUUUCAAUUACCGAAUCUUGGGGUUGGUGGUUGUUUUCAAUUAGUGGAUCACUUUCUUGGUCGGUGUUUGCCAUCUUUGCAACUUCCUUCUCAUGUAAAAACAAACCACAAUUCUCACUAGUGAGCAAUAGCAACAGAAUUAAUCAGGUCAAGCCCCAACUUUCGUUUUCGGGCGCUUAUAAGGGUUCAACUUUAGAUUUACCACAAAAACUUAAGAUCAAAUCUAGAUGAAAUACUUUAUUUCAUCAAAAGUGAAGCAAUUUGCUAAAGAUAAUAAAUAAAUAAAUAAAUAAUCAAUACCCUCUAAAUUAAGAAUAGAAGUACGUACCUCUGAUGAUGCAGAGGACAAGGAUCAAACCAGAAGAAAUAGCUCAAGGUUCAAAGUGCAAAAUGAACCCACUUAGUUGCAAGUACAACUGGAUCUAGCAAGUCUUGGCGUUUCAGUUUUAUACAGCAGAGAGUAAUGAACAAGCUACUUGAUUGUUCAGAGUAACUCACCUUUACCAGCAGAAUCAAUUCCCCACCAUCAUGAUUUGUCUCUUCCUGCUUCACACUUUCACUGACUUGGCAAUUUAACCCCGCUUCUUAUCUUCUUCCCAACCCAACUAAAUGAGGGUGGUACGUAGAGCUGUCCACGGGCCAAGUUACCAGCCCAGUUCGCAGGCCUCACGUGAUUUCAGUCGGGUUUGGAUAUGAUUUUUUAAAUUUGGAUCCAAUUCAGUUCGAUUCAAAAAUAUUAUUUUAUUAUUUAACUUAAAUUUAAAAAUAUAUUUUACAAUAUUAAUAUAAAAAUUAAUUUUUUUAAUAUUUAGUAAUCAAUAUAACUUAAAUAGAUGGAUAAGUCUAUGUUUUCAAGGAGUCUAUCGGAUCCGAUCACCUCUAGCGGUUGAUAAUUUAUAUUUUUAUUCUUACUUUUAAUUGUGAAAAUUUUUUUAUUUAUUUUAAAAGAUCAAAGAUGGGAAAAAAUAUCUUGAUUUUUUUAUUUAUUUUAGUAUUUUUUGUAAAACUUUUUUAAUUGUCUUAAAUUAGACGUUCAAUGAAAUGAAUAAUUAAUAAGAAAAGUUGUGGCUUUUGAAUAAAAAAAAUAAGAGUGAUAUUCGGAAGGUAAAGGAACAAAGUCCAUUNAAUAAAUAAAUAAAUAAAAUCAAUACCCUCUAAAUUAAGAAUAGAAGUACGUACCUCUGAUGAUGCAGAGGACGAGGAUCAAACCAGAAGAAAUAGCUCAAGGUUCAAAGUGCAAAAUGAACCCACUUAGUUGCAAGUACAACUGGAUCUAGCAAGUCUUGGCGUUUCAGUUUUAUACAGCAGAGAGUAAUGAACAAGCUACUUGAUUGUUCAGAGUAACUCACCUUUACCAGCAGAAUCAAUUCCCCACCAUCAUGAUUUGUCUCUUCCUGCUUCACACUUUCACUGACUUGGCAAUUUAACCCCGCUUCUUAUCUUCUUCCCAACCCAACUAAAUGAGGGUGGUACGUAGAGCUGUCCACGGGCCAAGUUACCAGCCCAGUUCGCAGGCCUCACGUGAUUUCAGUCGGGUUUGGAUAUGAUUUUUUAAAUUUGGAUCCAAUUCAGUUCGAUUCAAAAAUAUUAUUUUAUUAUUUAACUUAAAUUUAAAAAUAUAUUUUACAAUAUUAAUAUAAAAAUUAAUUUUUUUAAUAUUUAGUAAUCAAUAUAACUUAAAUAGAUGGAUAAGUCUAUGUUUUCAAGGAGUCUAUCGGAUCCGAUCACCUCUAGCGGUUGAUAAUUUAUAUUUUUAUUCUUACUUUUAAUUGUGAAAAUUUUUUUAUUUAUUUUAAAAGAUCAAAGAUGGGAAAAAAUAUCUUGAUUUUUUUAUUUAUUUUAGUAUUUUUUGUAAAACUUUUUUAAUUGUCUUAAAUUAGACGUUCAAUGAAAUGAAUAAUUAAUAAGAAAAGUUGUGGCUUUUGAAUAAAAAAAAUAAGAGUGAUAGUCGGAAGGUAAAGGAACAAAGUCCAUUCAAGAAAAAUAUGAAAAAAAAAAUCUAAUAAACACAAUUAUUCAUUGAUAGUAGCAAUACCAAUACAUGAUAAAAGCAACAAAAUUUGAAACCAAAUUCUCCUUCUACUUAAAGUGGAAAGAUAAAUAAAUAAAAGUGCGAAACAAAUACGAAUUAACACACAUAAAAAGAUGAAAUGAAAACCUACAAUUAAGGAACGAAUUUAUUUUACGGGCUUUACUCGAUCCAAGAUUGCCACUAUAGUUUGUAUGAUAGUGAAAAUCCCAAAAUAAAUCGAUGCCACUUUCAAAGGAUUUUCAACAGCAUGGGAUAUUUUUGCUCCAAUCUGGUUAAGAGGAUCUCGAUAAUACUGUUUUAGAUCCUCUCCGAUUGUAUAAUAGCACAAACUUGUAACUCCCACCAUAAGAUUAUUAAUCAUAUUUGCCACAGCUGCACCGCUCCCCAUUCUAUGAGAAAUAAUCCCCAUUUUAAUCAGUAAAUUUACAUCUUCAGCGACAUCAACAAGAGAAUCCAGUAGUUGAAUAUAACCACAAAAAUAGGCCUCACUUGGAUAGUGACAUUGCUCGAAGGCUAUUAGGUUUCUAAAAACAGUCUCAGUUUCAUACUCCACACGAAAAGAUGGGAUUUUUAGCACUCCCUCCUCAAAUUUGACAUUAAGCAAGCAGUCGUCUACAGCUUUAAACCGAACACCAACAGCACGCAACAUCGUUGCACUGUAUCUGUUGUUGGUUUUCUCAACCAAGUUUGAAGGGUGAGUUCUCACUUGAUGGCGUCUAAUCAAAUCUGUGAAGUGUUUAAUCCCCUUUUGGUCUAAUGUUUGGUCUUCAUCGACUUUGAAGUACAGGCGAGCAAGAUGGAGAAAAGAGGGUUUAUCAGAAGUAGCGAAAGCUAGGUUAUAUAGAUCUUCAAGGAGAAAGAACGGGAGUUGAUUUUCAAGUAACAUUAAAUCCGUUUGAAGUUCAACACUUAACCAUUCUCUAUGGAAUAAGAAGUCGUUGACUUCUCUUUCAAAGUUCCUCAAGAAGUACUCAAUGAUAAAAACUGCAUCAUAUAGUAUCAUCUCCGUAAACUUGGAAGCCUCCGACUCAGUCCUAAAGACAAAUUGGACUUGAUAACACUUGCAUAUACGAUUUAAAUGCUCUUGGAUGAAGCUCACAAAUUCUUCCAAUGUCUUCUUGGAAGUCCUUUGACAAAAUUUUUUGUAAUAUCUCUGCUUUUGGGACUCCAUUCGACCCAAAUUUGUCUUACCACGAUGAAGAGGUCCUAUUGAAAUCAAAGUUGGAGUGUAGGCAUUUUCUUUUGCUUCACGAAAACGUCUAGGGACUUUGUAAAUACAACACUCAGGCGCAGGCUCUAAGUCUUCUUCAGGGAUAUCAAUUGCCAAAUCUUGGGGUUGCUGGCUUUUUUCAAUAAAUGGAGCAAUUUCUUGGUCGGUGUUUGCCAUAUUUGCAACUUCCUUCUCAUGUAAACAAACGACAACAUUUCUCACUAGUUAGCAAUAGCAGCAGAAUUAAUCAAGAUUUAACCUUUAUUAAGUCCAACAAAGUGUUCAAACUUUAGAUUUGAGACACUUAUUAAGCCCAAACUUUAGAUUUACUCCAAAAAAAACUUAGGGUCAGAUGUAGAUGAAGCUACUUAAUUUCAUCAAAAGUGAAACAAUUAGCUAAAGAUUAAAGUAAAGAAAAUCAAUACCGACUUAAGAAUUAAGAAUAAAGGUACGUACCUCUGAUGCUGAAGAGAAGGAGGAUCAAACCAAGAGCAACAGCUCGAGGUUCAAAGUGCAAAAUGAACCAACUUAGUUGGAUAACUGAGUACAACCAGAUCCACCAAUUCUUGGCGUUGCAGUUUUGUACGAAUCGAGAGAAAUGAACAAGGUUGUCUCAGAUCUAACAGAGGAAAAUGCCCACCAUAUUUCUUUAAGUCCCAUAUUUCGGUUGCACACGUCUUCGAAUUAAGAGUCAACCCUAAAUUAUUAUUCUUAUUUAGUUUAGAUUGCACAUCUUUCUAUUAAGUCCCAACCUUCGAUUGCACAUGUCCUUUAAUUAACAGUCAAUCCUAAAUUAUUAUUUUUUAGUUUAGAUUGCACAUGUUUCUAUUAAAUCCCAACUUUCGAUUGCACAUCUUCAUUGUUUUUUCUUUUUCUUUUUGUUUGAAGGGCAAAGACUCAUUGAUUAAAGUGACAAAGGCACGUGAUUGGUUAGUUUUGAAUUAUUAUUUUUUUUAUUUUCUGUGUACUCUAAAAGUAUGAUAUGUGUAUUUGCAGAUGGCACAAGGAAUCCAAAUUUCAAAACUUGUGUAGGAUUCCCCUGCUACUGGAAAUACGAUAAAAAAUGUUAAAACCCUUCAUAGCAUGUCACGCAGCAAACUACCUUUGUAUUCUGCAGAUGCUUAAUAGAGUAUGCUGGGUUGCCAUUUUCAUCUGGUUCUUAACUGCAGCCAUUUGGUAAUGGGCAGUCCAGGGACGAUCUACACCAGAAUAUUCCCUGCAAGCUCAGCACAGAGCUACGGACUGCAAGCUCACUAGAAGAUCCAGAAUAGGGUUUGCUUGGUCAGUUCUCCGCCGGGGACCAGCCAAAUGGCAACCGAGGAAUAUGGAGCAGUUCUGAGUUUGCAGCACAUCUCAGUGACAACAAUUAUCUAGUGCAGAAUCUCCCUUGGUCUGACAACAUUACAAUUAAACUUGAUCUGCUGCGAACUGAAAAUUUCACAGCGUUAAAUGCAACAAACACAAUUAAGUACCAAAAACAACAAAAAGGAACCAGAACUGAGCAUGGCACAUGCCAUGUUGUCUUCAAAGAAUGUGUGCUCAUGAAACAUUUUCUAGAUGGUGAGAACCCUGGGGUUACUUUACAUAGCCUUUCGAUUAGGCUGAAGCUUUAAACAGAACAACCCAACAUUUUCUAUAUAACACUGAAUUAGAAAUCAAAACAUAGAAAAACCAUGAAACAGAUUACAGUAAAAAAUAUUCCUGCAGUUCUUUUUGCCUGUCCCUCUCUCCAUGUUCAUCAUGCUUUGAAUGUUGAGGGUAUUUGAUCUAUUUGUCAUACCAAAUUCACAGGCUCUUACUUUGCUGCCAUGAAACAAUCGAAAGGCAACGAAAGACAUGCUCUCACUGAUUUUGUUUUGCUGAGAAUGCUGUGAGAAUGUAUACUUUCCUUUGGUCACGUUAAGCAGUCUCUCCGGAGAAGAAACAACUAAAGUAGCAGUUGCCACCGAGGAAACGAAAACCAAUGAUGUUUUGAAGAUCAAAAACUUUGUUCGUAGCUGCAAUUCCAGAUUCUCACACUCAGGAGAAUAAUUCGAAAGAGAAAAACGUGAAAGACUGAAUUUUAUCUUUCUCAAGAAAAAUGAAUGACAAAGACUGAGAGUACAGUUAAUUGUUUGGUAAUUAUGCAGAUAAAGAUACAGAGCUGAACCACAAAACUCAUUGCAUUAAGGUAAUACAAGGCACUAAAAAGGAAAGAAAAAUGAAAACCCAGAAAGAAAAAAUGGCCUUAAACCAAGGCUGAGACUCUUAUUCAUCCCCCGCCCUUGGACGAAUUCCAAGUCCAGUUCUUGCACCGACUUCCAUUAAAUCUUCCACCUGUUCAAACGACAUUAUAAAACAAGAUUACAAAUGUUGAUGGUGAAAAUUGGAAAACAAAGGAAGCAAUAGUUUGACAUGUUUGCACCAACUUGUGAAUGCCGGAAGCUUUAAGGAAAGCGACGGAUGCGGAGGCAGAGGAGCCGAGGAACAGAGAAGCGACGGCGAAGGCUUUGAAGGGCAUCAAACGAUGAUCACCCGCGUAACCUUCACCAUACGAAGAUAAAGCCUAUCCAAAUUGGGCAACGAUUGCUGUGGCCCAAUACCAGUGGCUUUGGAUGCGGAUCCUAUUUCCAUCACCACCGCCCCCCUCCACCUCCAUGACUCGUAUCUUCCUUCUUCAAGACUUUCACUGACUUCGCAGUUUCCGCCCCUUCUAAGCUGCUGCUCUUCACACUGCUUCCUUGAUUGGGUUAGCGGGCGCCAUGCAAUUUGGACACUUCUUGUUUAUGGGCUAACACUUACCACGUACCAGCUUGACUUAGUAUCAGCCCAGCCCAACCAUUGGUGGGUGGCUGCUAGAACUGUCCACGGAGCGAACCGGCUCGACCCCAUAAUGUUAUUAUAUAAAGAAACAUUAUAUUAUUUUUAAUUUAAUUUUUAAAUAUACUUUAAACUAUUAAUAUAAAAAUAUAUUUUAAUAUUCAAUAAUAAAUAUAAAAUAUAAUAUCUAAAAAAAAUUUUAAAUUAUUGAAAAAAAUUCAAAUAAAUUUUUAUUCUUUUCUUACGUUUAAUUAAAUCUUGAUACUUUUAUUUUGAAUCAAAUAAGCCUUAUGACUAAUGGUUUUCAUAAUUAAAAUGUCACUUUUCACUCUAUACCAUAUGACAUGUUAUAAUUAGUAAUAAAAUAAUAUAUUGAUAUGUCAUAAUUAAUGAUAACGUGAUAUACUAAUAUCACAUAAUUACAUAAUUAUAUGAUAUUUUUUACCUUUCACAUCAAUAUCACGUCAGAUCUAUGUGAGUAUAAAAUAAUAAGUUUCAUUCAAUUAAUAACAAUUAGUCAAUCAUUAUUCAUAAGGACUUAUUUAACUCAAAAUAAAUGUAUAAAGAUUUAUUGAAUGCAAUACAAAAUUAAAGAUUUAUUAAAAUUUCCUUUAAUAAUUUAUAAGUUUUUUUUUAACAUUAUUCCUAAAUAUAACUUAAAUAGGCAAGUUGGCCUUAAAUUUUCAAAGAAUCAAUCAAACUCAAUGAUCUCUUUGAACAACUAUCCAUUUUUAUUUUUUCUUUUAAUCAAGAAAUUUUUUUCCCUUUUUUUAAAAGAUAGAAGUUUGAAAUUUAAUAGUUUGGAUAAAAUUUUUUUAAUUGUUACACAUUUAAUAAAUUUAAGAUUUAUUGCAACAUAAUUACUUUAAAAAAUGGAAUAAUUAGUAAAAAAAAUUGUGACCCUUAAAUAGAGAAGGAAAAUACGGAGAUAGAAUCCUACUACUAGUUAGUAAUAGCGUAAUAAGAAACAAGCCAGUUCCAUAAAAAUAUGAUAAAAAAUCUAAUAGCCACACAAUUGUUCAUUGAUAGUAACAACAUCAAUUCAUGAUAAAAGCAACAAACUUGAAACCAAGCUCUCCUUCUACUUAAAGUGAAAAGGUAAAUAAAUUUAAAAACAUGAAACAAACACAAAUUAACACAAAUCAAAAAACGGAAUUGCAUCUUAAUUGAAUGAAAAAUUGCAAUCUAGUAGGCGUAUUUAUUUUACGGGCUUUACUCGAUCCAAGAUUGCCAAUAUAGUUUGUAUGAUAGUGAAAUACCCCAAAUAAAUCGCUAUCACACUCCCAGGAGUUAUAUAACCGACCGUUCUUGCACGAAGCUGUUUUAUAGGCUUUAGAGAAUACUGCAUUAGAUCCUUUCCGAUUUUGUAGUAGCACAAACUUGUAACUCCCACCAUAAGGUUGUUAAUCAUAUCUGCCACAGCUGCAUUGCUUCCCACUGUAUGAGAAAUAAUCCCUCUUUUUACCAGUAAAUUUACAUCUUCAACAGCAUCAACAAAAGAAUUUAAUAAGUGAAUAUAACCACAAAUAUAAGCUUCCUUUGGAUAAUGACAUUGUUCAAAGACAAUCAGGUUUCUUAAAAAAGUCUCAGUUUCAUACUCCACACGAAGAGAUGGGAUUUGUAGUUCGUUGUCCUCAAAUUUGACGUUAAGCAAGCAGUCUUCUACAGCUUUAAAAUGAACACCAGCAUCACGUAACAUCGUUGCACUGUAUGUGCUGUCAGUUCUCUCAACAAAGUUUGAGGGGCGAGUUCUCACUUGAUAAUAUCUAAUCAAAUCCGUAAAGUGUUUAAUCCCCUUCUCGUCUGAUGCUACAUAUUCAUCGACUUUGAAGUACAAGCAAGCAAGACGGAGAAAAGAGGGUUUAUCAGAGGCAGUCAAAGCCAAGUUAUAUAGAUCUUCGAGGACAAAGAACGGGAGUUGAUUUUCUAGUAACAUCAAAUCCGUUUGAAGUUCAACAUUGAACCAUUCUCUAUGGUUGACUUCAUUUUCAAAGUUUCUCAAGAACAACUCAACGAUAAAGACUGCAUCAUACAGUAUCAUCUUCAUAAACUCGAAAGCCUUUGACUCAGUGGCCAAGGCAAAUUGAACAUCAUAACACCGGCAUAUACGUUUUACUUGCUUUUUGACGUAGCUCUCAAGUUCGUUCAAAGUCUCCUUGGAAAUCCUUUGCAAAAAUUUCUCGUAAUAUCUCUGCUUUUGCCUCUCCAUUCGACCCAAAUUUGUCUUACCAUGAUGAAGAGGCCCUAUUGAAAUCAACUGUGGAGUGUAGGCUUUUCCGUUUGCUGCACGAAAACGACUAGGGACCUGAUAUAUACAACACUCAGGCGCAGGCUCUAAGUCUUCUUCAGGGAUAUCAAUUGCCAAAUCUUGGGGUUGCUGGCUUUUUUCAAUAAGUGGAGCAAUUUCUUGGUCGGUGUUUGCCAUAUUUGCAACUUUUCUUCUCAUGUAAACAAAUGACAAUAUUUCUCAGUAGUUAGCAAUAGCAGCAGAAUUAAUCAAGAUUUAAGCUUUAUUAAGUCCAACAGAGUAUUUCAAACUUUAGAUCUGGGACACUUAUUAAGCCCUAACCUUGGAUUUAUUCCAAAAAAAAUCUUAGGGUCAGAUGUAGAUGAAGCAACUUAAUUUCAUCAAAGGUGAAGCAAUUAGCUAAAGGUAAAAGUAAAGAAAAUUAAUCAAUACUGUCAUAAGAAUAUAAGUACGUACCUCUGAUGCCGGAGAGGAGAAGGAGGAUCAAACCAGGAGAAACAGCUCGAAGUUCAAAGUGCGAAAUGAGCCAACUUAGUUGGAUUAUUGAGUACAACAGGAUAUGGCAAUUCUUGGCGUUGCAGUUUUUUACGAUUCGAGAGUAAUGAACAAGGGUUCUCUCAGAUCCAACAAAGGAAAAUGCCCACCAUGUUUAUUUAAGUCCCAUACUUCGAAUGCACAUGUCUUCUAAUUAAGAGUCAACCCUAAAUUAUUAUUAUUUAGUUUAGAUUGCACAUCAUUCGAUUAAGUCCCAACUUUCGAUUGCACAUCUUCAUUGUUUUGUCUUUAUCGUUUUGUUUGAAGUGACAAAAAAUCAUUGUUUAAGAGGUUGUUUAAAGUGAUUAUUUAGUUUUGAUUUUUUUUUUCAUUUUCUGUGUACUCUAAUAUGAUAUGUGUACGUUCUGCAAGGAGAAUGCUAUUUGCAGAUGGCACAUGGCUCAUGGAAUCCAAAUUCAAAACUUGUGCAGGAUUCCCCGGCUACCGGAAAUAGAAUGAAAUAUGUUAAAACCCUUCAUAACAUGUCAGGCAGCAAACUACCUUUGUAUUCUGCAAAUCCUUAAUGGAGUGUGCUGGGUUGCCAUUUUCAUCUGGUUCUUAACUGCAGCCAUUUGGUAAUGGGUAGUCUAGGGACGAUCUACUCCAGAAUACCCCCUGCAAGUUCAGCAUCAUAUCUACGGACUGCAAGCUCGAGUACUACAAGAUCCAGGACAGGGUUUGCUUGGUCAGUUCUUUGCAGGGAACCAUCUAGAUGGCAACCGAGGAACAUGGAGCCGUUCUGAGUUUACAGGACACCUCAGUGACAACAAUUAUCCGGUUCAGAAUGUCCCUUGGUCUGACAGCAUUAUAAGUAAACUUGAUCAGCUGCGAACUGAAAAUUUCACACAGUUAAAUCCAAUAAACACAAUAACUAUAAAACAGGAACCAAAACUGAGCAUGAUAGUUGCCAUGUUGUCUUCGAAGAAUGUGGGCUCGUGAAACAUUUGCUAGAUGGUGACAACCCUGGGGUACUUAACGUAGCCUUUCGAUUAGGCAAUGAAUAGACUUAAACUUUUCUAGCAUUUAUUCUUAUCACCAUAUGCUCACUGUUCUCUUAACCAUAAAAUAUUAUUUAUUAAAAAGGGUCAAUUUUGCGAGGAAAAUAUUAUUUUUCGGCGCCUCCUCAGUUCACAUUAUGAGGUAGUAUAUUACUAUAUUUCUUUGGUGUAGGUAAAUAUAAGGGUGACUAACAGGCAAUAUUUUUAACAAAUUAAAAACUAAUGAAAAAUGUUUGAAUUUUGAUUUAGAAUUCUUGACAUAAUUCCCUCUUUUCACACCAAAAAAGUCAUUCAUUGAAGAAUGACAAUGUUUCCCAUAGUUUUUCAUUUGUGGACUCACAACAUUUUUUGGAAGUAAUUAAGAGACGUGGAAGAAAUGGAUUCAAGUAGUGCAAAAUUGUCACAGCAUCUAUAUUAACAAAAGUAGGAAAGUAGGGUUGAAAAUCAAUGGCAAUGUGUUUUUAGAGUACUUAACGUAUGAUAAAUGAAUGACAGAGACUAAAGUUCAUCUUUCUUAGGAAAAAUAAACGACUGAGACUGAGAGUAGAGUUAACUACUUGAUAAUUAUGCAGAUAAAGAUGCAGAGCUGAACCACAAAGCUCGUUGCAUUAACGUCAUAUAAGGCACUUAAAAGGAAAGAAAAAUGGCCUUAAACCGAGGCUAAUGAAACUCAUUCAUCCCCUGCUCUGGGACGAAUUCCAAGUCCAGUUCUUGUACAAAUUACACAUUUAAUAAAUUCACAAAUUUAUUUUAAUACUUUAGUUAGAACAAAGGAAAUAAAGAAUAAUUAGUAAAAAAGGUUGUGGCCUUUGAAUAUAAGAAGUAAAAAAGAAAGAGAAUGAGUCAUGGUCUUACUACUGGUUAGUAGUUACAUACAAGGAACAAGCCAAUCCCAUAAAAAUAUGACAAAAUCUAGUAGGCAUACAAUUGUUCAUUGAUAAGGGCAACAAAGCUUGAAACCAAAUUCUCUUUCCACUCAAAGUGGAAGGGCAAGUAAACUUAAAAAGUACAAAACAAACACACAUAAAAAGAUUGAUUUUAUUUGUCAUUGAAUCAAACACUGCAAUCAAGUAAGAGUAUUUAUUUUGUAGGCUUUGCUCUAUCUAAGAUUGCCAAUACGGUUUGUGUGAGAGUGAGUACCACCACGAUGAAAGCAGCAACAGUAGCAGUUCCUCUCCAAAGAGUGUUGAAAUAAACAUGCUUCAAGGAUGCACAUCUACGAUUCCAAGAACUUUUAUAAUGCCGGUUUAGUUUCAAACCGAUUUCACCAUAGAGCAAAGUUGAUUGUACAACUCCCACAGCAAGUUUGUUAAUCAUAGUUGCCACAGCUGCACUGCUACCCAAUUUAUUGACAAUAAUUUGUUCUUUUAUCAGUAAAUCUACAUCUUCCUUAGUGUCAAUAAGAGAGUCUAAUAGUUUAAUAUAACUACAAAAAUAAGUCUUUUUUGGAUAAUAAUAUUGUUCGAAGGCCAUCAAGUUUCUAAAACGAAUCUCAGUUUCGUACUCGACAUCAAUAGUUAACAAUUUUAGUAGACCCUUCUCAAAGUGUACCUGAAGCAAGCUGUACGUAGUAGAUUCGAGCACAUCAUCCUUAACCGUAUCCACAGACUGAAAACCUUCAAACUCA